AUAGAAGUGGGAAUUACUCCAGAUAUGUUGUUGGCACCGAAAUCUAGUUCACCCAACUGUGAUAGCUCUCCAAUUGAAUCUGGAAUGGUCCCUGUCAAAAAGUUUCGUGCAAUCCCAAGGUCUUUCAUGUUGACAAGUUUUCCAAUUUCACGGGGUAUGGUUCCGUAUAUUUGGUUUCCAAACAAAUAGAGUGUCUCUAUGGUGGUGGAGAGAUUUACAAUUGAGCUGGGGAGCUUCCCUCUUAAACCAUUCUGACUGAAGUCCAAGUAAGUUAGAAGGGUACAAUUUACCAGAGAAUUGAAAAAGAUCCAGUCUUGGAGCUGCGAAUAGUCUGCCAGUGGAUUCUGACCCAGACCUAGCACUUCAAGAUUAGGAAGGCUAUCCCAGUUGAUUGGUAUAGGUCCAGUAAUACUGUUUGCCGAGAUGUCAAGGUUAACAAGAUUGGACGCAUUAACUAUUGACGGUGGAAGUGGCCCUGAGAACAGGUUACCUUCGCCAUAAAAGCCUUGCAACUUCGGAAGGGUGAAGCCUAAAUCUGAUGGAAGUGUCCCUUCUAAUACAUUCUGGUUUAGACCAACAACAUAGAGCGACGAACUGUUGUAAAGUGAAGGCGGAACCAGACCUCCCAAACCGUUUACUCCUAAAUUAAGAAACUGUAAACUUGUGUGAUGUGCAAGUUCCAAAGGUAUGCCCCCAACUAAAUUGUUAUAGGCUAGAUCAAGAAAAAGAAGGGAUGAUACAUUACCUAUCGAAGGUGGAAUUGAGCCUGUGAAAUGAUUGACUCGAGCAUCAAACCGGUCAAGCUUAGACCAAGAGGAAAACUCGGUGGGUAGUUUUCCUUCAAGUUCAUUGUUACUCAUACUAAGUUUUCUAAUAUCUGUACAAUAACUCAAAUUGGCUGGGAAUCCACCUGUGAAAUAAUUCUGUCUCAAAUUAAGAUACUGGAGGCGAAACAAUAGGCCAAUUUCAUUUGGAAUCGAGCCAUGAAAGUUGUUCUGGUAGACGUAAAGUCCUCUGAGAAACGAAAGAUUACCAAUAUGUGGAGACAAUCUGCCCCCCAAUUGUUGGUCGGAGAUAUUUAGUUUUAUUACUCUCUCCCGUCUGCUGCUGCACGUAACGCCCCUCCACUGACAGAAGUGCAUCGAAGUGUUCCAUGAGUCCAGGGCACCCGACGGAUCAUCUACAGAAGCCUUAAAAGAAAGCAAGGCCUGCUGAUCAGUGUCGUUGCUUCGAAAAGCAAAUACAAAUAUUUUCGGUGUUGCUGAUACUAGUAAACAGGAAAUGAUAAACGGGAAGAUCAUGGUUGUAGAAUAAAACAGAGCAAUGAAGUAUUGCUACUGAAAGUACUAUGGACAUAAAUACAACAUUCAUGAUGUCUUUCCAACGACUUUGUAGGCCAAGUCGUGUUCAAAGAUCAUCAGCACAUAUUAAAUGGCGAUUAUGAUCUGCCAAAGAAGACUAAAUAUAAAACUAUAAUAGAAGUGCUUGUCAAGACUGUUUCUUGUAUACCAUAAGCACUCAUUCUUAUAUCUAUGCUAGCUCAUUAUACUUUCUAAUUUAGUUGUUCAACUUUUAAGGGGUAGAUUAGUGAGACGUUUUGCAAUGAGAUAUAAGUUUUAUGGGUAAGAUGUAUGAAGAAGGGUAUGAUCAUGAAUUUUAUUUCUCAUAUUUUUAUAUUUAGUUAAGUAAUUAAAUACAAUGUUUAACACAAAAUUUUAUAAUGAUGCAAAAUUAUAUUGUAAUAAUAAUUUUAUUAAUAUAUUUAAUUAAUUCUUGAAAAUUGAAUAUAUUGAUUUGAGAACUCAACCAAUUUUAUGAUAUCAACUACUCAUACCAUCUUAGCCGGAUACCGUACGACACCUAUGGUUAGGUAAUUAAAUUAAGGCUCUGCAUUUUAAUAUAUAAUUAGAAAUAAGAAAGAAAUAUUAUAUCACUAAAUACUAUAUAUACUCUAUUUUGAUAUCUCAUUUUAAAAUUAAUUGUAAAUUUUAAUAUGUGAUAUAAAGUUGGUUAAAAUGACCACUUUAAAGUGGACAACUAUUAUUAGAGUAUAUUAGUAUGAAGGGUUCUAUUAAAUAGAAAAUCAUAUAUUAUUAUAAUUAUCUCGUUAAAAAAUAUUUUAACUAGAAUGAUCAAAAUUUUCAAAUUUUAUAGGGAUUUUAAUUAUAUCAAAAAAGUUGUGCUAAUUUUUGACGAGUAUGUGUUUUAGAAAUAGUUACGUACAUGAAAGUUAAUCUUAGUCCGUUUUCAUAUUUUAAGUUUACUCCACCUAUAUUAUCAUAAACUUAAUCAUUUUUAUUUCGUGGAAUCAUCACAUACUUUAAAAAAGUUUCAAGUUAAAUUAUUAGUUGCUAUAUGAUUUAUUGCACUGAUUUAAACUCCAUAUAUUAUUAGAUGACAUUCUCAUAUAACAAUUAACAAGUAUCCUUAACAUAUAUAGGACAUGAAUGCAUUUUGCUAGGGGAGACUGAAAAUGUCAAAAGACCAAGUCCUUUCUCACAAAAACACAGAUCUGAUCCCUAGUUAGAAAGCAUUCAAAAGCUACUAUGGAGUCAUCUCGCUGUCAUCAAGACAAACAGAAAAAUACAAUUCAAACCAGCUACGGGUGAGUCAUCUCGCAUUGGAGAAAACUGUUAAAACAUCUAGCAGUCGUCAAGACUACUGCAUAAUUAACCCCAGCAGAUUUUAGUGUGCCAGGUCCCCAAGAUAACUGCAUGAUCCUUGACUUUACUGACAAUAGAGCAUCCACAGGGAAUGUUCGUUCCUUGCCGUCCAGCAUGGCUGCACAGAUAGAAGUCAAACUCAGUGGGAUAUGUAUGAUCAUACAACUGUCCCUCGCACUACAUUCCUUGGUGAGUUGCAGAGUACAUAUGCUUGUGACACUGAUUCCAGCACGCAACUGAUGCCUUUUCUUUAGUACAUUUUUGGAGUAUUUUCUUCAUUAUUUGCUGAAAUUAUGCCAUAUAUAUUUGAAUUCAGAGGAUGUCCACAAUAACAUCUGAAAUAAAACUUUAUAUUAAUCGAAAUAUAUAGUGCAGUCAAAGAUACUAUUGUUCCUAUGAUGCCAAACAUAAGAUAACUAGGCAUCCAAUUACACGAGGAACUGGGUGCAAUUAAAUGAGUGAUAUAGAUUUUCAUAUAUAGCGUUAUUUAAGUGAAAUUUCACUAUUUAAGAAUAACAAAAUUAGUGUCGUAUUUCAGUAUGUUAAAAAGUAUUAGUGAGAUUAAUAGGUAAUUAAUUUUACUAAAUGUAAAUAUUAAUAAAAAAUUUCAAAUAUUAAAUCCUUACCAAUUUUUUUUUAAAUAUUGUACAAAUUUUACAUUCUUAAUUAACUAGUUAGAUUUUCUCUUACAAAAUUGUCGCAUUUUUAAAAUCACAUAGGAAUCUAGAAUCAUAUACGAACAAACGCCCCUAAUUAUCGUGAUCUAGGUAUCUGCUUGUAUCUAAAAUUUUAUAAUCACACAAAAUCCUUAUAAUUAAAAAGGGUAAAAAGUACAAACCAGAUCUGCUUGUAUCUAAAAUUUUAUAAUCACACAAAAUCCUUAUAAUUAAAAAGGGUAAAAAGUACAAACUGCUUGUAUCUAAAAUUUUAUAUCACACAAGAUCUUUAUAAUUAAAAGUGGUAAAAAGUACAAACCAGAUAUGCUUGUAUCCGUUUGGGAUCUAAAAUUUUAUAAUCACACAAGAUCCUUAUAAUUAAAAGUAGUAAAAAGUACAAACCAGAUCUGUUUGUAUCUGUUUGGGAUCUGAUGGCGCAGGUGCUUGUUGGUAUGAAUUUACUUUGAGCAUCAUAAUAAACGCCCCUAAUUAUCGUGAUUUAGGUAUUUGCUUGUAUCUAAAAUUUUAUAAUCACAGAAAAUCCUUAUAAUUAAAAGUGUUAAAAGGUACAAACCAGAUCUGCUUGUAUCUAUUUUAUAAUCACAGANAACAAACGCCCCCUAAUUAUCGUGAUUUAGGUAUAUGCUUGUAUCUAAAAUUUUAUAAUCACAGAAAAUCCUUAUAAUUAAAAGUGGUAAAAAGUACAAACCAGAUCUGCUUGUAUCUGUUUGGGAUCUGAUGGCGCAUGUGCUUGUUUGUAUGAAUUUACUUUGAGCAUCACAACAAACCCCCUAAUUAUCGUGAUCUAGGUAUGGAAGACAAGUCUUUUUCUUCUUUGUUGCGAUUCAAACAUAAAUAUAUUUAUGUGUGUGUGUGUGUAUAUUCACAAAUGAUAUAACAAAAAUAUCUAGUACAUAUACUAAAGAAUGUUAAUUUAAAGAAAUAAACAACUCUUAUUAAGUUGGAAUUGCAAAGAAAAAUUUACUUCUUCGUAUUCAUUAUAUGGUGGCUGUAUGGAGAAAAUUGUGAAGGUUAUACCUCUCAGGUAAAACCUAUACUCUAUAUAUAGCACAUCAAUAUAUCUAGAAUGUUCCUCAAUUUGGGCUUUGGUCACAACUAGUGGGCCUGGAUUUGCCAUUUAAGGAUAUUCCAGAAAUUCAUAACAUUUUUAAUUUUGAACUAUUAUUUACUUUAAUUCAUUUUAUAAUAUUUUUUUAAGAUUUGAGGUUCUUCUCUCAUUUUGUGUAACAUUUUAGAUUGACUUGGGCUUGAGAUAUUAUGGGCCUUCUUUUUUGGAUCUUAACUAGUUAAACAAGUAACUUGGAAUUUUAACCUGUUAAAGAUAGUUUAAAUAAGUGAAAUGCUUUACUUUAUAAUCACAGAAAAUCCUUAUAAUUAAAAGUGGUAAAAAGUACAAACCAGAUCUGCUUGUAUCUGUUUGGGAUCUGAUGGCGCAGGUGCUUGUUUGUAUGAAAUUAUUUUGAGCAUCACAACAAACCCCCUAAUUAUCGUGAUCUAGGUAUGGAAGACAAGUCUUUUUCUUCUUUUUUGCGAUUCAAACAUAAAUAUAUUUAUGUGUGUGUGUGUGUAUAUAUAUUCACAAAUGAUAUAACAAAAAAAUCUAGUACAUAUACUAAAGAAUGUUGAUUUAAAUAAAUAAGCAACUCUUAUUAAGUUGGAAUUGCAAAGAAAAAUUUACUUCUUCGUAUUCAUUAUAUGGUGGCUGUAUGGAGAAAAUUGUGAAGGUUAUACCUCUCAUGUAAAACCUAUACUCUAUAUAUAGCACAUCAAUAUAUCUAGAAUGUUCCUCAAUUUGGGCUUUGGUCACAACUAGUGGGCCUGGAUUUGCCAUUUAAGGAUAUUCCAGAAAUUCAUAACAUUUUUAAUUUUGAACUAUUAUUUACUUUAAUUCAUUUUAUAAUAUUUUUUUAAGAUUUGAGGUUCUUCUCUCAUUUUGUGUAACAUUUUAGACUGACUUGGGCUUGAGAUAUUAUGGGCCUUCUUUUUUGGAUCUUAACUAGUUAAACAAGUAACUUGGAACUUUAACCUGUUAAAGAUAGUUUAAAUAAGUGAAAUGCUUUACUUUCAUUUUCCACUUCCAAUAAAUAUAUAAAAUUUAAAUAUAUACUUUUCUCCAUCUUUCAACUCACUAGCUACGACAUCCCCUCAUCCCCAUCCACUUAUCUACUCCAUCAUCAUCUUUCUUUUUCUCGAUUCAUCGAAACUGUUUCCUUCAUCCCGACGACCUCUCCAUGUAUANUUUACUUUGAGCAUCACAACAAACCCCCUAAUUAUCACGAUCUAGGUAUGGAAGACAAGUCUUUUUCUUCUUUGUUGCGAUUCAANUGUGCUUGUUUGUAUGAAUUUACUUUGAGCAUCACAACAAACCCCCUAAUUAUCGUGAUCUAGGUAUGGAAGACAAGUCUUUUUCUUCUUUGUUGCGAUUCAAACAUAAAUAUAUUUAUGUGUGUGUGUGUGUAUAUUCACAAAUGAUAUAACAAAAAUAUCUAGUACAUAUACUAAAGAAUGUUAAUUUAAAGAAAUAAACAACUCUUAUUAAGUUGGAAUUGCAAAGAAAAAUUUACUUCUUCGUAUUCAUUAUAUGGUGGCUGUAUGGAGAAAAUUGUGAAGGUUAUACCUCUCAGGUAAAACCUAUACUCUAUAUAUAGCACAUCAAUAUAUCUAGAAUGUUCCUCAAUUUGGGCUUUGGUCACAACUAGUGGGCCUGGAUUUGCCAUUUAAGGAUAUUCCAGAAAUUCAUAACAUUUUUAAUUUUGAACUAUUAUUUACUUUAAUUCAUUUUAUAAUAUUUUUUUAAGAUUUGAGGUUCUUCUCUCAUUUUGUGUAACAUUUUAGACUGACUUGGGCUUGAGAUAUUAUGGGCCUUCUUUUUUGGAUCUUAACUAGUUAAACAAGUAACUUGGAACUUUAACCUGUUAAAGAUAGUUUAAAUAAGUGAAAUGCUUUACUUUCAUUUUCCACUUCCAAUAAAUAUAUAAAAUUUAAAUAUAUACUUUUCUCCAUCUUUCAACUCACUAGCUACGACAUCCCCUCAUCCCCAUCCACUUAUCUACUCCAUCAUCAUCUUUCUUUUUCUCGAUUCAUCGAAACUGUUUCCUUCAUCCCGACGACCUCUCCAUGUAUAUUUUCUUCCCCCAUCUUCUUACAUCUCUCUCUUCGUCGAUAUGAUUCAAAUACAAAAUACUCAUACAUCUUAUAGUUUUGUCAUAUCUUCGGUAAAAUGGAAAUGGUAAUAUGAGAUGUGAGCCGCUCGGAUCCGUAAUAAAAGACGAUGGUAGUUAAAUCGUUUGUGGAAGAGAGAGAAACUACUGUGGUAGGUGAACUACGUGUGGAGGAGAUAAAAAUCGUUGUUGUAAUUAAGUCACUAGCGUAGGAGAGAGGUCAUGUCGUGGUAGUUGGAUAGGGGGAAGAAAUUAAGAGAAGGCACUUAAAGCGGAAGAAACUCCUGCAAAAUUUUAUGAUUUAUAUCAUAAAAGUUAGUGAUGUGCCUAAUACAUGUUACUGAUUUCUUUGGUGCAUAUUGGUGUUAUAGAUUAAAUUUGAUAAUUUAUCAAAAAUAAUAGAACAAAAUCAAGUGAAUUUUUGAUCUCCAUGUUACUUGCGGAAAGAUGAGAUAAUAAUAGAGAUAUGAAGUGGUUCUCACUAUAAUUAUACAGAUAACAUUGAUAAUAUUGUAUAUAGCUAAUAUAUAAAUAUGUUAUGAGAAUCAAAAGGAUUUCAUUAGAGUAAGACUAUUAAAUAUUUGAUAUAUUUUUUCGUUAUACUUAGUUAUAAUUUUUAACAUACAAUUAGAUCUAAAUAUAUUCAAACAUGCAAUGCGAUAAUUUAUUUAUAAAAAUCAAUUUUUCUUCAUCUUAUAUAAUAAGUACGGCAUUACAAGUUAUUUUGCAUGGUAACUAGAUGACAUUAAUAUUUAUAAAUCAUCAUGUGUUAUUUUUAUUAAAUAAUUUCAAUAAGUGUAAGGAAAUGUUUCCUUACUAAAAACAUCUUUAUUAAAAAUAUGAGAGCACAAAUUAUUUUAAAGAACAAUUUUUUCAUAUUUUUCAUCAUCUUUGAGAAUAUGAAAAAUUAGUUAAAUAAAAUAAUUAUAUAAAACUAGUAAUUAAAUGACGGUAGAGUUAAGUUCUAUGGAGUACACAAAAAUAUUAGAAUAUUAGAGUACAAGUCAUAAUUUUUUAGUUUAAUCAAAAAUAAUUUUUUUGAUUAUUCAAAUUUGUAUAUAAUUUAUCAUUUAUAAGCUGUCUUAAUCAUAAUUAUCAAUUAAUCAAUAAUAUCUUUCAACUUUAACAAGUAUUAAGAUUCUUGUUCUGCUUAUUAGUUAUAUUGCAGAACAUGGGGCCUCUGAUUUAUAAAAGUAAUUGUUCUACGUUUUGAUUACAAUGUUUAUGUUGUAGAACAUAAUCUGCAGGUUGUAGAAUGUUUACAAAUAUUGUAGAACAAAAAAAAAUUAAAUUUAGAUGACUAGAUUAUAUUUUAUCCAAUUUUGUACUACAAUACUCGAAUGUUUUUGUGUACUCCAUAGAACUUAACUAUAUAUACAUAUAUAUAUAUAUAUAUAUGUAUUUAUAUAUUAUUGAUCAAUUCCAUAAAAUAUACUCCCUCCAUCCCAUUUUAAGUGUCCACUUUGCCAAAAAAAAAAACUUCCCAAAAUAUGUGUCAUACUCUUUAACCCAUGUAAAAUUUAUACUAUUUCCGCUAUAGUAUUAAAUACAACCACCAAGCCCCUCAUAAAUAUAUUCAUGGGAUUAUGAAUUUAUAGUGUAAUUGAAGUGAAGAAAGGUCCAACAAAGAGCAAUUAAUGAGGUGCAUCACUAAUAUUUAUGAAAACUGAGCUCAUUAGUUGUGGGAAUAUAAUGAUCAAAAUAUUACAUUAAUUGUUUCUUAAUAUGUGUGAAAUUUGCAAAGUGGACACUGGAGUAUUCUUCUAGAUUUCUACUUACCAUCCUCCCCUUGGUUUCUCCGCCGGAAAAUGCUUGGUGCACAAUUGUGUACAAAAUUUUAUGUACAUAAUGACAUGUGUUGGGUUUUAAUUGGAAUGGGCCCGCGGUAUUUACAUCAACCACCCAAUUAAAACCCACCACAUUCAUUGCCACAUUAUUAUGUACAAAAAUUUUGUACACAAUUUUGUGCACCUAGCACUACUCUUUCUCCGCCUCCCUACCCUUGGUUUCUCCGCCUCCCUAUCUUUCCUCGUUUUGUACGUCUUCCCUCGUUUUGUCCGUCUCCUUAUAUUUCCUCGGUUUCAUCGCCUCCCCUUGAUUUCUCCCCUAUAUAUAAACUUUCACACAUACACACACACUUAUAAUCAAAAGAAGAAUGGGCAUGAGCACUAAAGCGUGCCUGUAAAUAGGUGAGCAUUGAAAUGAUUUGGCGGUUAAAUUUUAAAAAUGGAGAUCGAUCGAUGUAUGCAUAUGUGUUUCCCUUGAUAAAAGUUGGUGCCAUGUAAGUAGAAGAGUUUUAAUUUAAUAUUACGUGGAUUUAACUUCACCAUUUUGAUUUGAUGGGUAUUCUUUAUUUAAUCUUCUACUCAAAUUUUUUAGGGUAUUCGAGGUUGUUCUAGGUACAUUACUACAAUCCUUAGAAGGCAAAUGAAGCCCCUUACACCAGCAGGUGAAACUGGUACUCUUGUGGGGAGUACUAGGCCUAGAAGGCAAAGGGGUAGCCUCUGGCUGAAGAAGAGCCAGGCAUUGAUGUGGACAGAUCUCAAGGUGUCCUUAGACCUGGAGAGAGAGCCAUUCCAGACACACAACCUCGGACAGGACAUCACCUCUCUGCUUAUGCUAGAGCAGGAUAUUGAUAUUUGUUAAUAUUCUUCUUUUCCAUAUGAUCAGCUUCCAUUUUUAUAAUCAUUGGUAUUGUAUAGUAGGAACCUAUACAAAAAAUCUUAAUUGUCCAAUAGAAUAUUUGUCCAGCAUUGCUAGGUUAAUUGAUGGGGUCUUUAGAUUUCUUGUUGGUCGAAUUACAGUUUUCAUAUGCUUUAAACUGUGAACUAUCAGUUUAAAAUGAAUUUUAGUUCUUUUAUUAUUAUUAUUAAAUUUGUGGUUUUGGUUGAAAUCUGUUUAGUAUAUAUAUAUAAUUGAGUGGCUAAUAUUAUGUCUCAAUGGAUUAUUAUAGGUGAUGUGAAGAUAUAUGGGUUCGUGGAAGUAACUUUGGAUGAUGAUAUAUAGGAUGAGAGGAGGUGUCUGAAGUGGUGGUAGAGUAACAAACCAAAAAGGACAAUGCAAACGCAAAAAAUUCAUUACUUGUUCUAAAAUUAAAAACAAUUUAGUGACAUGUAAUUUUGUAUCCAUCAAAUAGAUGUUUUUAUUAUUAAAAUAGGUUUCUUAUCUAUGACUUUAUCAGUAAAUUGCAUCUAAUGAGUCUAUCAACGGUGAACAUGCAUCUCUAAUGAUGGAAUGAAUCGUCAAAACAUUACAAAUUUAAUAUGUAAACAUUUUAAAUAUCUUUACCCUUUAAAGACCCAGUCUUAGUUUUGUGUGCAUUCCAUUUUUACAUAGUAAAUGAAUAUGAAUACAUUCUGCUUAUAAGCUGUUUCUUUGUAAAUGAUUUUCUACAUGAAAAAAUAAUGUUUCUUGAAUGUGCAUAUAUUAUGUAAGCGCUUUACGAUUGUUAGAUUUCUUUGUUAGAUAUGCAAUAAUCAAUCCCGCCUUUUAUGGUAAAGACAUAAGUUAAUUAAAUCAACUUAUCUCUACGAGAAUGCUCACUAUUAACUAUAGAAAGAGCAAUGAUGAUGUUUUGGAUCCACUAAUCAUCUAGCUAACCAAAAGAAUUCUUUUAAACUUAGAAAAUCAGGUUAAAUAUAGUGAUAACUAUAAAGAUAUGAAGAGCUAUGGGCUUAACCUAUUGGUUAACAUCGUUUUGGUAUACACUUAAUUUUAUUGACUAGAAAUUCUAAAAACUUGAUUGAAUGGGCCAACUAAAUCAUGAUAUAUUCAUAUCACUAAUAAGUCUAUAAGAUAAAGUCAAUGAAAAAUUAUAAUGACAAUUCUUUAUAAACUCUAUAGCAUGUAUUAUGGUCCAUGACUAUAUACACAUAUUCAUGAAAAGUACUGAAUGAGCGAGUAUAGAUAUAAUGAUGAAGAUCAUUUACCAAAUAGUCAAAGAAUUCAAGUACAUCACGUCUAUAUCUAUGUGUAAAGUUGGUAUAUAUACUUACUCCAUCAAAGGUUCAAGAAGCAUUUCUUAUCAAUCAUAUACUAUUUCUGGCCACUGGGACUAAUACCAAGUCAAAGCUAUUGGAGCAUCAAUCUCGUUUGUGAGGGAUUUGUGAAAUUUUUUAGUGUAUAUAUAUAUAUAUAAUACUAAUGUUCCGAUGUUGACCGUUAGUAGUACUUAAUUAUCUUACAACUUCAGUCUCUUUUUUUAAAUAGAGUCUUGGGUCAUUAAUUUUAUUAAGUCGAAAACUUUAUAUAUAGUCAACUCUGUUAUUUGAUCUCCUUAGUUUAAAUCCUUCAUACAUCUCGUUGCUAAUUCAGUUAUAGUAAGAAGUUAUAGUAAAACCUGUUGGGUUUUUAUUUAAUCUAAACUUUUGUUAUUUAUUUGUUAAAUAAAUUGUACCUGUUAGGUGCGUGUAAAUAGCAACAAGAAUAGGCCUAUUAGCAGUUGAGAAGUUUUAGGAGCUGCAUGGAGUAGUUGAUAUUGAUAGAGUAGUGGAGUUAUAUCAGGAACUGCUUCCUUGAUAACAGCUACCACAUUAGUUGUUUGUUCUAUUUAUAUCUUGCAUGUACACACUUUCAGAAGAGACACAACACAAGCUAAUACAAUGUAGUUUUAGAGAGUAUUUCGGGAUUGUACAUACACAUCUCUUCUAUCUUUAUCAUUCUGCAGUUAUAAUUCUUGUAGUAGUUUAAUUUCAACAAAACCAUGUCAGGGAGAGCAACCACGGUUUCUAAAAUCAUUGCACACCCAUCCAUACCGUAUGUAUGAUAUUAUAAUAAAAAACCGGGCUUGUGGUGAGAAAAAUUACAAAAACUAGUAGCUCAAAUAGGGUAACAACCAAAAUACUAGAAUUCCCCUUAUAAUAAUCUUAAGAAUCACUUAAUUACUCAUAACACAUGAAGCAGUCGAAUACUAAUCCAGAGGUAUAUAACUAAAGUUCUCUUUCAAGAUCAAUAGUCUAUUAACUAAAAUUUUUAGCUUACUCUUCUAAGGUGGGGAUCAUGAUCAUUUUUAUGAAUUGAUAUAGAAAGGCUGAAAUAAAAUUUCAAUAAUCACGUAGACUAAAAAAGAAGAAUGAUAUUAAUGAAAUAAUAGACUAUCUAUCUUAUUAGGAAUAAAUGAAACAAGUAUUUGAAAAAAAUACAUAAUUUAGCAUUAAAUAGAUAAAAUAAUGAUUCAGAUUUUAAAUAGUUUAUGAAAUCCACCAAAUGAAAACGUACAAGUUAAUUGUUGCAUUAUAUAAAUACAAUCUACUUGCAGCUUAAUGUGAUAGUAUGAGUAAAACUUGUAACUUACACUAAUUAAAUUAUUAAUUGUUGUAUCAUGUUUUUUUUGAAAGUGAAUUGUUGUAUCAUGUUGAAACUUAAUAUGUUAAAAAUGAUUUAUUAAUGUCACUUCAAAUUAUAAUGUGUAUAAGAUGUUGGGUUUGUCUACACUCAUUAUUAGAAGUGAGAAGGAAAAAUCAAGAGAAAAAAAUUUAGAAGAAGGCUCGCAAUAUGUCUCGAGAAAUAAGUAGAAAUUGGAGUUUAUAAUGACAAAGAAAUAUGUGUGUCAUAUGUUAGUUCCCUUUUGAAUUCUUUUCGAUUUACGAGCACAAUUAAUCUAUUCCCCCUAAAUAUAAUUAUCAAUAUAAAUUUACUAAUUUUAAUAAAUAUUAAAUGAUGAGUUGCGUAAUUGUUAUACAAGUUGAAAGUUGAACCGGUAUAUUAAUAAUAAAAACUUUUUGAAGAUAAAUUGACACAAAAAAUAAACCGUUCAUUAUGGCAUUACGUGAAAAUCAUUGAUCAUAUAUGUGUGUAUGUUGUGUAUAUAUGUAUGUCUAUACUUAUAUGUGAGAGAUAUGUUAUAUAUUAAAUAGUAAUUUGUGAUGUAUAAACUAGUUAGUGAUUAAAAAUUGGUGAGGGACUGAUUUUUAAUUUGUAGGCUAGUUUGUAUAGGCCGCAGCCUCGGUGGCCACAGUGGUGGGCUAUGGCACCAAAAGGGUGGGGCUGACAGUAUAUGUGGGUUGGUUUGGUGGGAGUGGAUGUGGAUAAGUGACAGUAUAUGAGUGUAGGUGAGGAAGUGGCUGGUUAUGAAAGAAAUUUUUGGUUUUUAUUCAAUUUUAUUUUUAUUAUAUAUAUAUAUAUAUAUAUAUUAAAUAUUUGAUAUGUUGGGUUUUUAUUUAAUCUAAACUUUUGUUAUUUAUUUGUUAAAUAAAUUGUACCUGUUAGGUGCGUGUAAAUAGCAACAAGAAUAGGCCUAUUAGCAGUUGAGAAGUUUUAGGAGCUGCAUGGAGUAGUUGAUAUUGAUAGAGUAGUGGAGUUAUAUCAGGAACUGCUUCCUUGAUAACAGCUACCACAUUAGUUGUUUGUUCUAUUUAUAUCUUGCAUGUACACACUUUCAGAAGAGACACAACACAAGCUAAUACAAUGUAGUUUUAGAGAGUAUUUCGGGAUUGUACAUACACAUCUCUUCUAUCUUUAUCAUUCUGCAGUUAUAAUUCUUGUAGUAGUUUAAUUUCAACAAAACCAUGUCAGGGAGAGCAACCACGGUUUCUAAAAUCAUUGCACACCCAUCCAUACCGUAUGUAUGAUAUUAUAAUAAAAAACCGGGCUUGUGGUGAGAAAAAUUACAAAAACUAGUAGCUCAAAUAGGGUAACAACCAAAAUACUAGAAUUCCCCUUAUAAUAAUCUUAAGAAUCACUUAAUUACUCAUAACACAUGAAGCAGUCGAAUACUAAUCCAGAGGUAUAUAACUAAAGUUCUCUUUCAAGAUCAAUAGUCUAUUAACUAAAAUUUUUAGCUUACUCUUCUAAGGUGGGGAUCAUGAUCAUUUUUAUGAAUUGAUAUAGAAAGGCUGAAAUAAAAUUUCAAUAAUCACGUAGACUAAAAAAGAAGAAUGAUAUUAAUGAAAUAAUAGACUAUCUAUCUUAUUAGGAAUAAAUGAAACAAGUAUUUGAAAAAAAUACAUAAUUUAGCAUUAAAUAGAUAAAAUAAUGAUUCAGAUUUUAAAUAGUUUAUGAAAUCCACCAAAUGAAAACGUACAAGUUAAUUGUUGCAUUAUAUAAAUACAAUCUACUUGCAGCUUAAUGUGAUAGUAUGAGUAAAACUUGUAACUUACACUAAUUAAAUUAUUAAUUGUUGUAUCAUGUUUUUUUUGAAAGUGAAUUGUUGUAUCAUGUUGAAACUUAAUAUGUUAAAAAUGAUUUAUUAAUGUCACUUCAAAUUAUAAUGUGUAUAAGAUGUUGGGUUUGUCUACACUCAUUAUUAGAAGUGAGAAGGAAAAAUCAAGAGAAAAAAAUUUAGAAGAAGGCUCGCAAUAUGUCUCGAGAAAUAAGUAGAAAUUGGAGUUUAUAAUGACAAAGAAAUAUGUGUGUCAUAUGUUAGUUCCCUUUUGAAUUCUUUUCGAUUUACGAGCACAAUUAAUCUAUUCCCCCUAAAUAUAAUUAUCAAUAUAAAUUUACUAAUUUUAAUAAAUAUUAAAUGAUGAGUUGCGUAAUUGUUAUACAAGUUGAAAGUUGAACCGGUAUAUUAAUAAUAAAAUUUUUUUGAAGAUAAAUUGACACAAAAAAUAAACCGUUCAUUAUGGCAUUACGUGAAAAUCAUUGAUCAUAUAUGUGUGUAUGUUGUGUAUAUAUGUAUGUCUAUACUUAUAUGUGAGAGAUAUGUUAUAUAUUAAAUAGUAAUUUGUGAUGUAUAAACUAGUUAGUGAUUAAAAAUUGGUGAGGGACUGAUUUUUAAUUUGUAGGCUAGUUUGUAUAGGCCGCAGCCUCGGUGGCCACAGUGGUGGGCUAUGGCACCAAAAGGGUGGGGCUGACAGUAUAUGUGGGUUGGUUUGGUGGGAGUGGAUGUGGAUAAGUGACAGUAUAUGAGUGUAGGUGAGGAAGUGGCUGGUUAUGAAAGAAAUUUUUGGUUUUUAUUCAAUUUUAUUUUUAUUAUAUAUAUAUAUAUAUAUAUAUUAAAUAUUUGAUAUAUUUUUUCAAAAUAAAUAUUUAUAAAUUUAACAUAUAAUUAGAUUUAAAAUUUUCAAACAUGUGAUGCCAUAAUUUAUUUUAGAAAAAUCUAUUUUCCUUCAUCUUACAUUUUAAAGAAAGUUAUUUUGCUUGCUAACUAGAUAAAAUUUGUAUUUAUAUAUAAUAAUAUGUUAUUUUUUUAUUGGCAUGUGUAAAUAAUUUUAGUAAGUGUAAAUAAAUGUUUCCUUAUUAAAAAAACCCCUACACUAAGAAGUAUGAGAGCACAAAUUAUAAUAAAGAAAUUAUUUUAUAUUUUUUUUAUCUUUGAAAAUACAAUAAAUUAUUCAAAUAAAAUAAUUAUACAAGCAAACUGAUUAAAUGAGGGUAAUUGUCAAGAAAUUAUUGAUUAAGAUAAAUGAUAAUGUAUAGAGUUCAAGAAGUAUUUGUUGAAUGUGGAUAUAUUAUAUUGAUCAAUUUGAUAAAAUAUACUAUUCCCCACAUUUUGUUAAAUAUAAUAUAAUUUUGGCUAUAAAAUAAAAGAAGUGUGUGGGUGAUUCUAGAUUAUUCUUAGUACAUGCAUUUGUUUUUAAUUUUGAAUGCAUGUAUUAGUCCAGAUGCAUAAUCUCUAGAAUAUUCCCGUCUUUUGCUUUCUAGCAUUUAAUUAGUCUCUAGAUCUUUCUAUUGAGUCCUAUAUAAAGCCUCUUGUACCAAAUCAUUUGUCAUCAACUAAGGUAAAGCAAUUCAUUAUAUAUAAAUUUCUCUUUUCCUAAAUAUCUGAGUUGUGGGAGUUUUAGUGAAAACCUUUCUUCCUCCAUCCAACACAUUUUUAGCCCACAUCCCGGUUCUAAGUCUAUUCUAGUUUUGUCCUUCUCCUUAGAUUUCCUCGAUUUCUUCACCUCCCCUUGGUUUCUCCGCUAUAAAAUUUUACACACACAUAUAUAUAUAUAUAUAUAGUCUUAGAAGAAUGGCUAUGAUCACUAAAGCUAGCGUGGCUGUUAAUAAGUGAGAACUGAAAUGAUUUGCCGAUUAAAUUUAAUUAGCAAUGGUGAUCUAUGUAUGCCUAUGUGUUUAAUUCCCUUGAUAAAAGAUGGUGUCAUGUAAGUUCAAGAGUUCUAAUUUAAUUGUGAGGAUAAUAUUAUCUAUCCAUUUUGAUUUGAUGGGUAAUCUUUAUUUAAUCUUCUUUUAUUUAUAAAUUAUAGGGUUUUGGCAUUCGAGAUUGUUCUUGGUACAUUUGUAAAAGCCCCAGAAGGAAGCCUGUUACACCGGCAGGCGAAGCUGGUACACUCGGGGGAAAAAAUUGAUGGAUUAUUGUUGACUAAAUGAUGUUUGAUGGAUUAUUCUAUUAUUGAGCUAGGCUCCUUGCCGAGUACUUGGGGAAAAAGGUAAUGCUGGCACUUGUUUGCCAGACUUUUGACGGGGUUAAAGCUCUGGAGGCGUAUGAUGAAGGUGGUGUUAUAAAUAGAAAUUCUGGUCUUCAUGGAAUUGUAUCCUGGGUCACGACCUCUGGCCAUGGCCUUAGAGAGACUCUCUUCUAUCUUCUAUUCUCGCUCCUGCAAGUUUAUAGAACUAUGAAAUAUAUGUAUAAGGCCCUCCCAUUCAUAAAAGAUGGAGCUGUAUCUUUUGGAUGGUGGAAUAAUGAGAUCAAAAUUUCCUCUUAGCAGCAUAGCCAUUGUGACAACUUUAAUUGUACAUUCACAUUUCUUCUGUUGCAACCGUACAAUUUCUUGCAACAAGUUUAUAUGAUUAGCAAAGAAUUCUUUAAUAGAAGAGUAUGUUAUUAUUUGUUAGUAUGAUAUAUAUUACUCAUAUAAUAAAUAUGCAAAUAAGGCACUCGGAUAUGAAAGUAUUAAUUCAAUAACAAAAUUAAAACGUCAAACUAAAAUUAAAUGAAUAAAAGAGAAGGAAAAUUCUUGUGAAACAAACACCAACGAAUGAGUUUGAUUCUUUUCUUUCCUUUGUCGGUUAUGGGCGAUGUUUUAGUAAAUUGCAUGUGAUAUACAAAUAGCAUAAAACAAAAUUUUGUGCUAAUUUUUUUUUUAAUUUUUAGACCACUAUUAAAUCUAUCAACAAUAAACGGCCACCAUAUCUGUAUGUAUUUUGUUUCUAAUAUAUAGUAUUAAAAAAUGUAAAUUGGAAUCUUAUAGAAGCUAACAAUAAAAAUUUUUAUUUGGUUUCACGAUCAAAAUAAUAUAAGUAAAAUAAUUCAAGAUCAUUCAUUAACUUUCUCCUAAUUUUAAUUUGUGAAUUUUAUUUGAUUUUCAAGCAUAAACAAACCAUCCCUACAUAUAAUAAUCAUUAUAAAUUUACUAAUUCUAAUAAAUUUUUGAAUGAUAAGUUUGUAAAUUAUUUUGUUAUACUAAUCGAGACUUGAACUAUUAUAUUAAUACUAAAAAGCUUUAGAGAAGACAAAUUGACUCAAAAUAAUAUAUUAAUUUGUGAAAUUUUUUCUCACUAUAAAAUUUGUUCAUAUUAAUAAGUAAUAAUGUGCUUCUUACAUAUUUAUUAGCUAAUUAAUAAUUUAAUUAUAAUAAGAUGAAAUAUAUUUUACUCGAAUAACAGAUCAUUUUGUGUUCUCUUAAAAAAGAUUGUGUCCAAAAUUUUAUUUAUUCAAAUUAUUAUAAAUAUGAUAAAUUUGAUUAAUUGUUACACAUUUAUCAAUAAAAUUUAUUUUAAUGUUGUGUUUAUCAUAAAUAUUGAUCAUGUACAAAUUAAGUUCAAAAGUUAAGAUACAUAUUUUACGUUCUCAAACAAUGAGUAUUCAUUUUGCAUUAAAUGAGAAACUCAAGUUAAACAAUUUGCAUUAGGUAAAUCACAAUUUACAUAAGGAGGAUCUUCGGAUAGGUAUAUUGCAUUUCACUCAAAUAUAUUGGGCAUGUUAAAUUUGGCUUUGUAAUGAGUUCUACAUUUCCCUAUUUCUUUAAACUGCACCAACAACAAACCAACAACAGAACAAAGAAGAAAAGGAAACCAGAUCUGCAGCAGAUCAGGUGACAGAGUUUGGAGGGCAUGGUAUAGUCUUCCUAAUGAACUCCUCUUUUUUGGGGAAUCAUAAGCCUAAAAAAAGGCCUUAUGAGCACUAACCUUUUUCCCCUCAAAACAAAGAUUUAGUAAUGUAACAAGAACAACCCCAAUAAUACCUGUCAGACAAACGAUUAAUUGGAAGCCAUUAGGAUUUUAAAAACAUAAUUAAUUACUUGUAUUCAAUUUGGAGGCAAACACUAACCACAGUUACACAAACACAAGCAUCAAUUUCUUCCGGGUCUGAAUUUCCAGAUGGAUCAGCAUUGCUACAAUGAUCUGAUCCACAACUCUGGAUUAAAGUACUAUGAUUUUGAUGGGUCAGUAUCAUAUACAGAGCGAAAAUCAGAAAAUAGUACUCUACAUGUUAGGAACACAUGAAAGAGCACAUCUGAGCUUGCUCUGCCAAGUGAAGAGUAAAUCUGAUGAGCCCUAAAUAUAGGACUUGGCAACGGAGAUCCCAAGGGGGCACAAUCAUAAAAAAGUGAAAUUUAUUAUCGGUUUUAAUUUAUAACUGCCAACUUCUUUUUGAUAGAAAACUAUUAGCUGAGAUAUACAUUCUUUUUGUCUUUAUGUUAAGAGUGAGGCUCUUACAUUUAAUUCUCUUUAUUAUGGGGGUCGGGCCUACAGGCUGCACCUAGUCACGUUUAUUCUCUAUCACUCUCAUUUGUUUACGAAUAGCAUGUGCACCGAAAUAAAGAUAUCGUUUGGCUGGUGUGUGUCCAUGAGCACAUGCUAAACUCUAAUUUUGAUGUAUUAGCUUGUUUUGAUUGAUAGAGCUUUUGUAUAUGUAAGGGGUCCACCAUUAUUAAUAAGUAGUACUAGGCACUCAAAAUGAGUUAAAUACAUGAAUUAAUUUGGUGUUUAACAUGUGUCAUGGGCAUAUUUAAUGUAUAAAGUGAGUAUAGUAGAGUAAAUUAGUGGAUAUAGUAAUUUUCAUAUGGGUCUUUCUAGUAUGUGCCUACAUGGAGGAUUUUUAUUGGUGGGGAUUUUUGUGCAUGUAGUGGGGCGAUCAUUAUUUAUAAUGAGAUUAGAGCUAAUAGAAAUCAUUCACCAAAAUAAAAAGUAAAGUAGUUGUUAGUGUAUGCUCAUGGACAAAAUGAUGAUGACUAGCUAGUGACUAGUGUGUCCCCCAUGAGAUUAAACAUAAUUAUCAAUUAGUUAUUAAUAUAUUUCAAUUUUUAAGAUUAUUGUUCUGAUGAGUUAUAAUGGAGACCAUAUUGUCCUAUGAUUUAUAAAAGUAAUUGUUCUAUCUUUUGAUUACAAUGUUUAUGUUGUUGAAUAUAAUCUGCAGGUUGUUGAAUGUGUACAAAUAUUCUAGAAUAACAAAAACUAAAAUUUAAAUGACUAGAUUAUAUUUUAACCAAUUUUGUACUCCACUACUCUAAUAUGUUUGUGUACUCCAUAAAACUUGACUCAUAUAUAACUAAUGAUAAUAAUUUGAAUAUAAUAUGAAAGGGAAUAGACUAAAUUGAAUAAUAUAAUUAUAGAUAUGAGCCUUACAUAUAUUACCACUAGGGUCAUUCUACUGACCAAAACUUUCAAUUGGCCUCCCGAGUCAAAAAAAGUUUUCAUUUAAAUAAUAAACCAUCUAAAAACUUUUAAUCACGAAAUUAAGUUAUAAAAAAAAAUCAGCGCCGUUAAGUCUUUGACUUUUAACGGAAAACCUUAAAUAUAACGGAUUUGCAUGUUUUUAACAGAUUAUAUGUUUUUAAGGCAGAGUUUACUUCGGCCCUUCACCAGUUCCCCGUGUACUGCUAUUAUCAAUGCUGCUAGAUACAGUAAAGACAAGUCUGCAAGUUUUGGAAGGAGAGGGGCGACCUACAAUUGGACAAACUGUAAAGAAUUAGCUGGUGAAGGAAGGCGGAUUGGGUGCUUGUUAUAGAUGUUUGGGGCCGAGGUGGGCUUCGAUGCCUCUUUCCGCAACCACCAUGCAUGAUCACUACUUGUGAGUUUCUAAAGAAAAUGUCUACGAAGGAUCAAGAGGUGUUUGCUUAACUAAAUUUUGGCGGGGAAGAUACGAAAGGGAAAAAAUUUAGAAUGUUGCAAAUCAUCUACACACUUGUAUAACUUGGUUUCUUGUCAUGUGUUGAUGACCUUCCUCUAUGAAUACCGAUGUAAGUUGUACUUAAGGUUUACUUUUAAUGAAUAAGAAUAACAUGAAAAUCAAAUUACAAUAUUGUCCAACAUUGUACAAGUAGUUCAGCCUUGGUCAGGCUGUUUGUUGUAUAUGAAUGAUAUAUAUACAUUGUUGAAGUGUGUAAAUGUGUAGGUUCUAGGGGACAUCUACUACCUGGUAUAUACAAGAGUCGGAUUCAGGGUACAAAUGUUGAGUAAUAUGACUCUAUUUGGUUUUAAGAGGCAAAUGCUCCUGUUAAGUUUUUAAUGGAAUGACCUAUUUGAAAAUUUUUAAUAAUACAAUUAGUUGACUCAAAAAAAUUUUGACUCGGUAGGCCAGGCUCAGUAGAGUGAUGAAAUAGAGCAUUAACCCUAUUACCACUAGACUAUAAAGUAAUGUCCUAAUGUUCUGUAAUGUCAGAAAGGCUGACACAUAUCUAAAGUAAAAUGUGUCUCAAAAUGGUGCUUAACACAUAUCUAAAACAAAAUAGCAUGUGUGUCACUCCACCUACUCUUAAGGUCGGAAUAUAUGAACCUAAAAUUUACAAAACUUAAAUUUAACAAGCUAACUUCUUUUAAAAUUGGCAAGAAUCUUACUCAUGAGAUACCUACUGUCUUUUUGAAGCUUAACAAGUUAACUAAAAUUCUUAGCUUACUCAUAAAAGGUAAGAUCUGGUCAUAUUUCUAACUUGAUUUUCUUUUUCCGGAAAGACAAAAAAGAAGGGAAUGAUAUCUAUGAAAUACUAGAUUGUCUAAUUAGGACUAAACAGAACGAGUUCUUACAUAGUGUAAUACUGAAUAGAUAGAUAGUAAUUCAAAUUUCAAAUAGUUUAUGCAGUCCAUCAAAUAAAAACAUUGGAGUGAAUGAAUAUUGGGGAGAAAAAGAAAUUUAAGUUAGAAAGCGUAUUUGUUAAUUGUUGCAUUUUAUAAAUACUAUUUAUAACUUGUAGCUUAAUCUGACUGUAUGAAUAAACCUUGAUGCUUAACUUAAUCUAACCACCCCAUUAGUAUUUGCAUCAUGUUUUAGUUGCAGGAGCUCCCGCAUGCACCUCCUCUAUGUUAUUAGAAACAAAAACAUUUUCUUAAUGUCACUUUGAACGAUAAUGUUUAUAAGAUGAUGGGUUUGCCUACACAGAAGUAAGAUGAAGAAAGUGAAGGAAAAGAAAAAGUUCGAGAGGAAGGCUCGGAAGUAUCCUGAGGAAGAUGUAGACGUUGGAGUUCAUAGUAGAAAAAGAACGAGAAAGAAUAAUUUGCAACCUAACGUAUCUCGCCGAUAAGAGUACAUAAUCACGAACAAAAAAUUGUAGUUAGUAGAACAAAAGCAUUACAAAUUCAACAGAAACAUAGACAUUUAUUUCUUAUUAAUUCAAAUAGCUGUUAAUUUUUAUAAGUUAAUCUAAUUUUAAAUUAUUGAUACUGAUAUUAAACUGAGAAUAUAUGUACACUUGAGAGCCCUAAAAAGCAUUAAAGAUGAAGCUUCGCGGUGGACCAACAACUCGUUCACGAUCCAAUACUGUAAGUAACUGCCCGCGAGAAGGAAGAAACAAACUCAAUUCUCGUUUAGACCCCUGCACCAGUGAAGUUGCUACAGAGUGAAUGACUAUGAUCAAUGGCUGCUUAAUUAUUUGACCAUGCCGUCAAAAGAAAUUAGAUGCUCAGAAGAAAGCUAUAUAUAACUGCUGGUCCAAGUCAAACUGCAAAUGAGCCGGCUGAUGGAGAGAAUGACUUGCCUAAUUGGAGAUGCAGUUGAAAAGAUUAGGCCAUGUUGACUUGUAGAAAGGUUUUCCAAUUUAAGUGUUCAAAUUGCCUUGGUUUUCUAUUUCGUAAAUGUAGAGAUAGAAUGGUAUACAUAUUCAAAUUGGUUAGAUUUCCGUGUAUGGCUGAGCUUUAUAACCUGAUUUUAUGAUUUAAAGUGAUAGAUUAGCGAUGUAAAGUGUGGGUUUGGAUAAUUUUGACUUUGACUCGUGAGUUAUUAAAAAUAUGAUAAUAAAAAUAAAAAUGAUUUACGGAUAACAUAUAUCUUUUUUAUCAAAAUUUUUUUUAACAAUUAACUCGCCUUAAAAUGUACCUCAAACUAAUUAUACCAAGUCCUUAGCUAAUUUCAUUGUUAAAAUCAAGUAGGAUAAGUUAUGUAUUUGAAUUAUGAUAUUAAUUUUUAUUGUAUAAACUCAUAUAAAUAAAAUAAGUUGUUAGAAAUAUCUCUUAUCAACGCUAAGGAGGCCUUUCAGAAUUAAAACCCAUGCCUUUUCCCAAAUCCAAACUAACUCCUGCUCUACCUAUGUUCGCCACCACCAAGGUAGAUAAGGUCAGGGAAUAUGCACAUGUUAAUUACUGUUAAUUUAAUGAAUAGUUUCGCGUUCUUUUAGAAUUAAAUUGGUAUAUAUAGCAUAAUUAAGGGUAUCAAUGUCAGUUAGAUGAUCAGAAGCAUGUUUUGGUUGAAUUUUUUAAUCUUUUUAGUACUAAAUUUGAAUAAAUUAAAUAUAACUUCUAUCCAUAUAAGGCAUAUCGAUGUUACAUGUGCUUUUUUUUUUUUUCAGGGUUUCCAAGCACUCCGGAGCGCAUGGAUAUAAGAACAGCUUAUUUUUUAUGAUAUUCAAGAUUAUUAAUGUUACAAUAAUAUUUUAUUUUGUAAAUAAGUGAAUAAUUACAUUUUAAUUUUUUUUAGCAUUUUCUAAUAAUAAUUAUAUAGAUAUGCGAAUAUUUUUAUAUAUAAUAAAUACAGAUAUUUUUUAGUCAAUUAUGACGAUGAGAAAGGACAAAACAGUAAACUUAUACUAAGUAGGAUAAGCCAUCUCGAAAAAUAUACACCAGAUAAUUUAUAUUUAUAAAUCAUCAUGUGUUAUUUUUAUUAUUUGUAUUAAAUAAUUUCAAUAAGUGUAAGGAAAUGUUUCCUAACUAAAAACCUCUUUAUUAAAAAAUAUGAGAGCACAAAUUAUUUAAAAGAACAAUUUUUUCAUAUUUUUCAUCAUCUUUGAAAAUAUGAAAAAUUAGUUAAAUAAAAUAAUUAUAUAAAUGUAGUAAUUAAAUGACGGUAAUUGUUAGGGAUUUUUUUUCAAAAAUGAUAAUGUAUAAGGAGCUCAAGAAGUAAUUUUUGAAUAUAAAUUUGUUAUAUUAAUCAAUUCCAUAAAAUAUAAUUCUUCUAGAUUUCUACUUGCCAUUAUCCCCUUGGUUUCUACUUGCCAUUAUCCCCUUGGUUUCUCCGCCUCCCUGUCCUUGGUUUCUCUGCCUCCCUAUCUUUCCUUGUUUUUUAGGUCUUCCCUCGUUUUGUCCGCCUCCUUAUAUUUCCUCAGUUUCUUCGCCUCCCCUUGGUUUCUCUCCUGUAUAUAAAUUUUCACACUCAGACACACACUUAUAAUCAUAAGAAGAAUGUGCAUGAGCACUAAAGCGUGCCUGUAAAUAGGUUAGCAUUGAAAUGAUUUGGCGAUUAAAUUUUAACAAUGGAGAUCGAUGUAUGCAUAUGUGUUCCCCUUGAUAAAAGUUGGUGCCAUGUAAGUAGAAUAUAUAGUUCUGAUUUAAUUAUUACGUGGAUGUUAUUUCACCAUUUUGAUUUGAUGGGUAUUCUUUAUUUAAUCUUCUACUCAAAAUUUUUAGGGUAUUCGAGGUUGUUCUUGGUACAUUACUACAAUCGUUAGAAGGCAAAUGAAGCCCCUUACCCCAGCAGGCCAACCUGGUACACUUGUGGGGAGUACUAGGCCCAGAAGGCAAAGGGGUAGCCUCUGGCUGAAGAAGAGCCAGGCAUUGAUGUGGACACAUCUCAAGGUGUCCUCAGACCUGGAGAGAGAGCCAUUCCAGACACACAACCUCGGCCAGGACAUCACCUCUCUGCUUAUGCUAGAGCCAGAAGGUAGUUGUGACGCCCCCGGCCCGUGAUGACUUCAGCAACCCGGCCCGGGGGGGCCAUUCUACUGAACACACUGAAAUGUAACUUUGUAAUCUCAAACUUAAUAUAAUUUAGAGUGAUUGACACUUUGCACCUCUUAUGUUUAAGCGCUUUUUCGAUUUCGUCUCAAACAAUUUUUUUUUGGCAGAAUGCAUCCUAAAAUUUAAAAAGCGCUUCGCUUUGCACCCCUUUGACCACCCUCCGUUUAAUUGACCGUUAAAGUUAACAGAUAUCAGAUUUUCACUUUGCACCCCACAGUUUUAAUUUUUUUUCAGAAAAAAAUUGUUUGAGAACUUUAGGCUAUGACAAUUACAGUGAAAUGUUAAAGUUGAGUCUUGGCAACAUCAAGUGCGUUAAGCACUUCCUGCUGCCGAACCAUGGCUAGCUUGACUGAUUACUUGGAUACCUGGCUUUGCUGCAAUAUUAAGACACAAUUCAAACCCAAGUUAAUUUAACUAAUUUAUAUAUAUGCAGUCACUUUGCAUGCAUGCAUUAUGAUAUGCAUGACUACAUGAGAUGAGACUAAUGAUAACAUAUUACAUCGAGAAGUAAAUAUACAGGGCAAAUAAGAGAGAUUAACUAAAUAAUGCAAUUAGUCUGGGGAAUAAGUGGUUAACCGGUUUAAUUAGUAAUGCUCCUCUAUCCAACUCUUAGCUUGCACAACUCCAGAAUUUUAAAAAAAUACGAUAGGUUUAUAGAAGAAUUAUAUCUGGCUCAUCAAAACCGAGGCCUGUAAUUCGAGUUAGGCCGCUCGCGAGCAGCUCAAACUCGAUCUCGUUUAAUAAGACUCAAACCGACUCGAUCUUGUAUACUUAGUUAAAACUAGUAUCAUAUGGGAGUAGAAAAGUCUACCCAAUUAACUCAGAAAGAAAUGAUUUGAGAACAACAGCAUCCAUGUCAGCUCUGAUCUUUUACGUAAAUCCCAGCAGACAAGAACUCAACUAAUACAAUUACUAAGGUCAGCUUCAGCACUUCUACCACUUCUACCAGGUUGUUCGCCCAAAUCUCAAUUGCCACUUGAAACCUAAUUUGUUUCUUUUUUACAGAAGAACAGAAACAAAGUGAGUCUAAAAUGUAUUAACAUUUGAGUUUGAUCUUUAAAAUUCUAUUAAAAUUAGAAAUAAACUCGAGUUUCACACAAAUAUAUUUCUUACCAUAUGUUGUAAUGUAGGAACAGCUUCAUCAGUUGGCAUAUCUACCAGUCUGCAGUCCUAAUUAUAUGACAAAAUACUCAUGAAAAAAAAAUUAAAAUUGUGGGGUGCAUAUUUUCCACAUUAAGUUUCGGAUGAUUUGGACUAAUAAUAUCCUAGCAGACGAAAAUGAUAAAUAAUUUUCUGAUUCAUGAAAAUUUUUUCAAAAUACUCAUGAAAAAAAAUUAAAAUUGUGGGGUGCAAAGUGAAAACCUGAAAUCUGUUAACUUUAACGGUCAAUUAAACGGAGAGUGGUCAAAGGGGUGCAAAGUGAGCGCUUUUCAAACUUUAGGGUGCAUACUGCCAAAAAAAAUUGUUUGAGACCAAAUCGAAAAAGCGCCUAAACAUAAGGGAUGCAAAGUGUCAAUCACUCUAUAAUUUAAAGGCAUAUUUUACCUUACAUCAGAGCCUUACAUCACUCUCCUAAAAGUUCACAAAUAUUUCUUUCGAUUACAUAAUACUUCUACUAAACUUCUAAUUUCAAAUCCAACCAAGUCUAGCACUUCGGUUCAUCACACUUUUACCCUUGCCUGAAUAUCCUUCUCCAGAAUUCUUCCCUGUAAGAUUAGUACAUAAAAAGGGAUGAGCUCAUAAAGCUCAAUAAGCAUAUACGUACAUUUCAACUGAGUUUUAUUCACAAAACUUGGUGAACCAAAUCAAUAUUUCAUCAGAGUCAUCAAACAGUUUCACACAUCAAGAUGAGUAUGAGUAUGAGUAUUCAAGCACGAUAAGUUCAUCAGUUCAUCAAGUUGGGAUCCCGGCCAGCUAAACAAUCGGUUUAGCUUUUACUUCCAAUAAGGAAGCAUCAUCAUCAGUUCAUCAAGUAUCAAUGCAAGAAUACUCAUGGCUCAUCAGAAAAUCAUCAACAAAAUGUUCACCCAAAACAUCAUAAAAUAUCACAGUGAAGGGUACGGUAUAUACUUACAGUGCACCACGUUCCAAUUUUAUGUUGAAUAAUCAAGCUCGCCUUACAGAUAAUCAAUCUUCUAUGUCACAAAAUAAUAAAUUUAGAAUCUUAUCUUAAAACAACGAUCUCGUAAAAUCUAUUUAUAAUUUUUUCUCAUUUAGAUCGUUUCUCAUUUAUUCUUCUCUUAUUAUUGAUUUAAAUAAAAUAUUCCUUACUAACUCAUGUUACUAUCCCAAAAGUCUCAUUUCUUCUAAAUUAUCUCUUUUAUUCAAAUAUUAACUAAAUCCACCAAUUUAACUUGCUAUUUAUUAAUCAACCAAAAUAUAAAUAAAUUUAUUUAAUAACUCUCAAACCCAAAAUUAGGCUUCACCAUUAAAUCCGAAAUAUUAUUUACUUAAAUUUUCAUGUUUUACACUUUUACUAAUUCCAUCAUUUAGUCCCUCAAAUUAAUUAAAUACUAAUAUUCAAUAUUCUAGCCAAUCAGAAGACGCCACAUCAUCAUCUUCUCCAAUACACCCAUCCAGUUUCUCUCUCCCCGAAGUCAACCCCCAUGGCCAAACUUUGACCACUCAUAACUCCCUCAUGUUUCAUCCAAAUCAUUUGAUUCAAGAGUCAAUUCCAUAUAUUUUUUCACAAAGAAUCCAAAUAUGUAAUUUAUUUUAUAAUCCGACAUCAAAUUAUUGCCCAGCGAAAUAUUUAUCAGAAUCGAUUUAUAAUUAAAGAGUGAUUGACACUUUGCACCCCUUAUGUUUAGGCGCUUUUUCGAUUUGGUCCCAAACAAUUUUUUUUGGCAAUAUGCACCCUAAAGUUUGAAAAGUGCUUCGCUUUGCACCCUUUUGACCACUCUCCGUUAAUUGACCGUUAAAGUUAACAGUUUUUAUAUUUUCACUUUGCACCCCACAAUUUUAAUUUUUUUUCAUGAGUAUUUUGAAAUAUUUUUUUUCAAAAAAAAAUAUAUUUUCCUCAAGACUCUUAUAUUCUGUAAGAGUCUUAAAAUACGUGUCAAUAAACCUUCUCUGUCCGGUACGUAUAGAGAGGCAAGUGCACAGAAUGCAAGAACUUAUUACAGGAAUUUGAUCAAUCACGUUAGACAAAAUGGAACGCCAAACAGACAGGGAAGACCUGUAGAAACUUACUUGUUUGCCAUGUAUGAUGAAAUUAAACCUCAAGGGAGGGGAAGAGACUGGGAGGCAUUUUGGGCUUUUCAAUCCCACAAAUAAACAGCCAAAAUACCAACUCAGGUUCUGAGUUAUAAUUUUAAAAACGUCAUGUACUAAAAAAUAAGGCCCAAAUGGCCAUUUUGGAGAAAGUAGAAAACAAGAAAUGUAUCAUGUUUGGGAUUAGUUUGUUCGGUAAGAGCAUCUUUAAAAAUGGAUGUCAAGAGAGUGUUAACGCCACUAUUGAUAAUAUGUAUGUUUUUAUCAUCAUAUAGGAGAAAAAAAUUCUUAUAAUGUUAUUCAAUUAUUUUAGUUAUGAAAUUUGUAUUGAGUACGGGUGUCAAGAGUCAAGACACUUAUUAUUGAUAUAUUUAUUCAUCUUUUACACUUGAUACAUGAUCCGAAAUAUGUUAAUUAUAUUUUUCAUUUGUUUUAAAAAUUAUUUUACCUAUUAUCUUAGAAGUUAGUUGCUAGCAAAUAUGUAUCCAUAUUAGCCAUCUAGGAACUCCUCAGAAAAUCUUACUUAUGAGCUGUUUACAUUACCCGUUGUGGUUGUAGCAGAUCUGGAUGAUAAUCAUCCAUCCUGGAACCUUAUUGAUGCAUUGUUACAUACUAUGUAUUCGGUUGUUGAGAGAUCAGGAGGUACAAAUGUCAGAGAUUAUUGUGUCGAGAGUGGAUGGCCUUCUGCAGGUGAUGCAGAUGCAAGUGCACAAAAUGCAGGAACUUAUACUCGGAAUUUGAUCAAUCAUGUCAAAAGAAAUGGGACACCAAAGAGACCAGGCAAACUUAUCGAAGCUUACAUGUUUCAAAACACUCAUGAAAAAAAAUUAAAAUUGUGGGGUGCAAAGUGAAAACCUGAAAUCUGUUAACUUUAACGGUCAAUUAAUGGAGAUUGGUCAAAGGGGUGCAAAGCGAAGCGCUUUUCAAACUUGGGGGUGCAUACUGCCAAAAAAAAUUGUUUGAGACCAAAUCGAAAAAGCGCUUAAACAUAAAGGGUGCAAAGUGUCAAUCACUCAUAAUUAAAUUACUAAAUUAACCUUGUCUUUCCCAUCUCUCCUCUCUCCCUCCUUUACCACCACCUCCACUGCCACCGCGAACGGCGGCUCGCCACCGUCGGCUUCUUCCCCGACGAAACACACACCCGAAACACAUACACACACCUCUUCUCUCCCUCUCUCUCUCCGCACCGCCUCCUCUCUCCUUUCUCUGCUGCUUCUCUUUUCUUCUUUACUGCCGCCGCAGGCUCCGUCGGUGACGCCGACGUGAGCUCCGGUCGGACUCCACCACCAGCCUAUCUCCCUUUCCAACAAUACUCCAAUCCAGACUCAUCUCCAAUUCAACACAAAUUAAAUUUAUACACCCCAAAAACAAGCAAAAAAACCCAAUUAAGCUUAAGCCCCUUUUUACAGUAGCCAAAACCCCCUCCUUUAUUUCAUUUAUGUCUAUAUACAUCUAUACUCCUUAAUAAAUUAAGAGUUUCUUUUGAGUCCCUUAAUUUGUAUUGCAUACAAAUGGGUCCCCUAGCACAAAAUGAAUUCUUUCGUUAAUAACAAAAUAAUAAAAGGUAAGUGAGGGAUUUUUACCUUAUUAAUGGAACCUCUUGUUCGAUUUUUUCCCUUUUCUUUAUUCUAACUCGCCUCCUGCUCUUCUCCACCUUUCUCUCUUGUGUGAAUAAAACUCAAACCAUGUGUCUUUCUUGGUUUUUAUACUAGUAGUACUAAUUAUCAUUAACGGCUAAUGACUCUUUAAUAUAUUAUUAUUUACUAGCUUUUAACCCGUGCGAAGCACGGGCGGGUAUAUAAUUCGUAUUUAUUAUUUAUAAUUUAAAUUUUAAUAUCAUUUUAUUAAUAUUUUAGUAUUAAUGGAUUGAAUUUUAGGUUAAAUUAUAUUAUCAGCUGACUAUAUAUAUAUAUAUAUAUAUAUAUAUAUAUAUAUAUAUAUAUAUAUAUAUUAGUACAUUUAAUUCGAAUUUAGUAAACGUAGAUUUAAAAAUAAAAAAAAUCAGGAAAUUCAAAUCUUUUCCAAACAUAGCCGAUCGUGUAAUACCUUUCAAAGAUUCAGUAAUCUAAUCAAUCGAAUUUCAAACUUAAUUUUGUAAUUUUGGUUUUUUUGACAACAAUAACUUUUAAGAUUAGAGUUAGAAAGAGUUCUGUAAUGAUUCGUGUUUAUAUUGAAAUAAAACACGUUAAAGUUAAAAAGAAUUAUAUGAAGGUUCUUGUUAAAAAAAGAUAUUCAAAAUUGUAUAUUUAUAAUUUUAUUUAUAACAUCAUUAUGAUUUUUUUAAUGAAAUAUUAUAUGAAGAUGUAUUGUUAUGAGUGUUUUUAGUAUUUGAAACUGUUUAACAAUACAAUACUAUUUGUAGACUUGUAGUACCAAAAGGAGAGUACCAAACCAAAAAAUAUAACUAAAACCUUGGAUUACAAAUUAUACCCAUGUUGGCUUAUUAUAGUAUAGUACAGAUUCCUUUUACUUGGGCUCCAAACUUUAUUCUUAGGCUCCAAGUAUAAUAGCUUGAGCUCCACGUUCCGUCACGCUAAUUAAAAUUUUUGUUUCUCUCGAUUCCUAUUUUCUCGUAUCGGUCUUAAUAAACGCGAAAAAUAAAAUUAAAUAUCGUACAAAAUAUUAAAUGAAUAAAUCAUUAAUUAUUUUAUAUUUCAUAAUCAAAUCCCGAAUAUAAUAAUAAUAAUCAUCUCGGCUAAAACGUAAUAUUUAUUCACGAGUUGGUAAAUAAAUAAUUAUGUCUACUAUAAUUCUCAUAUAAACGCAGUUCCCGCGUUAAUAUACAUAUUUAAAUUAACAAUUGGCCCACACAAUAUAACUCACGUGUUUUCUAGUAUUCUCGAAACUAUAAAAUUUAAUUAAUACCUCUCACAUUAUAAUCUAAAUCCGUGACUAAUAAAAUAGUCUUUCUACACAAUAAAUACUUAUAUUAAAUAAAUGCAUUUUUAGGAAAUUGAAAAUUUCACGGAUGUUCCAGUAGCAUAUUGAUAUUUGUUAAUAUUCUUCUUUUCCAUAUGAUCAGCUUCCAUUUUUAAGUAGUAAUAUAAUCAUUGGUGUUGUAUAGCAGGAACCUAUACACAAGAUCUUAAUUGUCCAAUAGAAUAUUUGUCUAGCAUUGCUAGGUUAAUUGAUGGGGUCUUUAGAUUUCUUGUUGGUCGAAUUACAGUUUUCAUAUGCUUUAAACUGUGAACUAUCAGUUUAAAAUGAAUUUUAGUUCUUUUAUUAUUAUUAUUAUUAUUAAAUUUGUGGUUUUGGUUGGAAUCUGUUUAGUAUAUAUAUAUAUAUAUAUAUGUUGAUUUUUUUUAUGUAUUACAUACCUCCACAUAAUAAAAGUUCAAAUAUGAAUUAAUUUUUUGAUUUGUUAUCCAUAAUUGAGUGGCUAAUAUUAUGUCUCAAUGGAUUAUUACAGGUGAUGUGAAGAUAUAUGGGUUCGUGGAAGAAACUUUGGACGAUGAUAUAUAGGACGAGAGGAGGUGUCUGAUGCGGUGGUAGAGUAACAAACCAAAAAGGACAAUGCAAACGCAAAAAAUUCAUUACUUGUUCUAAAAUUAAAAACAAUUUAGUGACAUGUAAUUUUGUAUCCAUCAAAUAGAUGUUUUUAUUAUUAAAAUAGGUUUCUUAUCUAUGACUUUAUCAGUAAAUUGCAUCUAAUGAGUCUAUCAACGGUGAACAUGCAUCUCUAAUGAUAGAAUGAAUCGUCAAAACAUUACAAAUUUAAUAUCUAAACAUUUUAAAUAUCUUUACCCUUUAAAGACCCAGUCUUAGUUUUGUGUGCAUUAUUUUUUACAUAGUAAAUGAAUAUGAAUACAUUCUGCUUAUAAGCUGUUUCUUUGUAAAUGAUUUUCUACAUGAAAAAAUAAUGUUUCUUGAAUGUGCAUAUAUUAUGUAAGCGCUUUACGAUUGUUAGAUUUCUUUGUUAGAUCUGCAAUAAUCAAUCCCGCGCCUUUUAUGGUAAAGACAUAAGUUAAUUAAAUCAACUUCUACGAGAAUGCUCACUAUUAACUAUAGAAAGAGCAAUGAUGAUGUUUUGGAUCCACUAAUCAUAUAGCUAACCAAAAGAAUUUUUUUAAACUGAGAAAAUCAGGUUAAAUAUAGUGAUAACUAUAAAGAUAUGAAGAGCUAUAGGCUUAACCUAUUGGUUAACAUCGUUUUGGUAUACACUUAAUUUUAUUGACUAGAAAUUCUAAAAACUUGAUUGAAUGGGCCAACUAAAUCAUGAUAUAUUCAUAUCACUAAUAAGUCUAUAAGAUAAAGACCAUCUAGGUAGAAGAGGAGCGGGACUUCUUCAAUGAAAAAUUAUAAUGACAAUUCUUUAUAAACUGUAUAGCAUGUAUUAUGUUCCAUGACUAUAUACACAUAUUCAUGAAAAGUACUGAAUGAGCCAGUAUAGAUAUAAUGAUGAAGUUCAUUUACCAAAUAGUCAAAGAAUUCAAGUACAUCACGUCUAUAUCUAUGUGUAAAGUUGGUAUAUAUACUUACUCCAUCAAAGGUUCAAGAAGCAUUUCUUAUCAAUCAUAUACUAUUUCUGGCCACCGGGACUAAUACCAAGUCAAAGCUAUUGGAGCAUCAAUCUCGUUUGUGAGGGAUUUGUGAAAUUUUUUAGUGUAUAUAUAUAUAUAUAUAAUACUAAUGUUCCGAUGUUGACAGUUAGUAGUACUUAAUUAUCUUACAACUUCAGUCUCUUUUUUUAAAUAGAGUCUUGGGCCAUUAAUUUUAUUAAGUCGAAAAUUUUAUAUAUAGUCAAUUCUGUUAUUUGAUCUCCUUAGUUUAAAUCCUUCAUACAUCUCGUUGCUAAUUCAGUUAUAGUAAUAAAGUUAUAAUAAAACCAUGCCAGGGAGAGCAACCACGGUUUCUAAAAUCGUUGCACACCCAUCCAUACAGUAUGUAGGAUAUUAUAAUAAAAAACCGGGCUUGUAGUGAGAAAAAUUACAAAAACUAGUAACUCAAAUAGGGUAACAACCAAAAUACUAGAAUUCCCCUUAUAAUAAUCUUAAGAAUCACUUAAUUACUCAUAACACAUGAAGCAGUCGAAUACUAAUCCAGAGGUAUAAAACUAAAGUUCUCUUUCAAGCUCAAUAGUCUAUUAACUAAAAUUUUUAGCUUACUCUUCUAAGGUGGGGAUCAUGAUCAUUUCUAUGAAUUGAUAUAGAAAGGCUGAAAUAAAAUUUCAAUAAUUAGGUAGACUAAAAAGACUAAAAAAGAAGAAUGAUAUUAAUGAAAUACUAGACUAUCUAUCUUAUUAGGAAUAAAUGAAACAAGUAUUUGAAAAAAUACAUAAUGUAACAUUAAAUAGAUAAAAUAAUGAUUCAGAUUUUAAAUAGUUUAUGAAAAUCCACCAAAUGAAAACGUACAAGUUAAUGUAAAGUUUGGAAGAAACUAAAAACCAAGUAAGAAGAUUUAAUUGUUGCAUUAUAUAAAUGCAAUCUACUUGCAGCUUAAUGUGAUAGUAUGAGUAAAACUUGAAACUUACACUAAAUUAUUAUUUGUUGUAUCAUGUUUUUUUUGAAAGUGAAUUGUUGUAUCAUGUUGAAACUUAAUAUGUUAAAAAUGAUUUACUAAUGUCACUUCAAAUGAUAAUGUGUAUAAGAUGUUGGGUUUGUCUACACUCAUUAUUAGAAGUGAGAAGGAAAAAUCAAGAGGAAAAAAUUUAGAAGAAGGCUCGCAAUAUGUCUCGAGAAAUAAGUAGAAAUUGGAGUUGAUAAUAGACGGAGAAAUAUGUGUGUCAUAUGUUAGUUCCCUUUUGGAUUCUUUUCGAUUUACGAGCACAAUUAAUCCAUUCCCCCUAAAUAUAAUUAUCAAUAUAAAUUUACUAAUUUUAAUAAAUAUUAAAUGAUGAGUUGCGUAAUUGUUAUACAAGUUGAAAGUUGAACCGGUAUAUUAAUAAUAAAAACUUUUUGAAGAUAAAUUGACACAAAAAAUAAACGGUUCAUUAUGGCAUUACGUGAAGAUCAUUGAUCAUAUAUGUGUGUGUUGUGUAUAUAUGUAUGUAUAUACUUAUAUGUGAGAGAUAUGUUAUAUAUUAGAUAGUGAUAUGUGAGGUGUAAACUAGUUAGUGACUAAAAAUUGGUGAGGAACUGAUUUUUAAUUUGUAGGCUAAUUUAGUUUGUAUAGGCCGCAGUCUCGGUGGCCACAGUGGUGGGCCACCGGUCGGGGCUAACAGUAUAUAUGGGUCUGGUCUGGUGGGAGUGGAUGUGGGUGAGUAAGUGACAUUAUAUGAGUGUAGGUGAGGAAGUGGCUAUGGUUAUGAAAGAAAUUUUUGGUUUUUAUUCAAUUUUAUUUUUAUUAUAUAUAUAUAUAUAUAUAUAUAUUAAAUAUUUGAUAUAUUUUUUCAAAAUACAUAUUUAUAAUUUUAACAUAUAAUUAGAUUUAAAAUUUUCAAACAUGUGAUGCCAUAAUUUAUUUUAGAAAAAUCUAUUUUCCUUCAUCUUACAUUUUAAAGAAAAGUUAUUUUGCUUGCUAACUAGAUAAAAUUUGUAUUUAUAUAUAAUAAUACGUUAUUUUCUUAUUGGCAUGUGUAAAUAAUUUUAGUAAGUGUAAAUAAAUGUUUCCUUAUUAAAAAAAAACCUCUAUAAUAUGAAGUAUGAGAGCACAACUUAUAAUAAAGGAAUUAUUUUAUAUAUUUUUUCCAUCUUUGAAAAUACAAUAAAUUAUUCAAAUAAAAUAAUUAUACAAGCAAACUGAUUAAAUGAGGGUAACUGUCAAGAAAUUUUUGAUUAAGAUAAAUGAUAAUGUAUAGAGUUCAAGAAGUAUUUGUUGAAUGUGGAUAUAUUAUAUUGAUCAAUUUGAUAAAAUAUACUAUUCCCCACAUUUUGUUAAAUAUAAUAUAAUUUUGGCUAUAAAAUAAAAGAAGUGUGUGGGUGAUUCUAGAUUAUUCUUAUUAGUACAUGCAUUUGUUUUUAAUUUUGAAUGCAUGUAUUAGUCCAGAUGCAUAAUCUCUAGAAUAUUCUCGUCUUUUGCUUUCUAGCAUUUAAUUAGUCUCUAGAUCUUUCUAUUGAGUCCUAUAUAAAGCCUCUUGUACCAAAUCAUUUGUCAUCAACUAAGGUAAAGCAAUUCAUUAUAUAUAAAUUUCUCUUUUCCUAAAUAUCUGAGUUGUGGGAGUUUUAGUGAAAACCUUUCUUCCUCCAUCCAACACAUUUUUAGCCCACAUCCCGGUUCUAAGUCUAUUCUAGUUUUGUCCUUCUCCUUAGAUUUCCUCGAUUUCUUCACCUCCCCUUGGUUUCUCCGCUAUAAAAUUUUACACACAGAUAUAUAUAUAUAGUCUUAGAAGAAUGGCCAUGAUCACUAAAGCUAGCGUGGCUGUUAAUAAGUGAGAAUUGAAAUGAUUUGCCGAUUAAAUUUAAUUAGCAAUGGUGAUCUAUGUAUGCCUAUGUGUUUAGUUCCCUUGAUAAAAGAUGGUGCCAUGUAAGUUCAAGAGUUCUAAUUUAAUUGUGAGGAUAAUAUUAUGUAACCAUUUUGAUUUGAUGGGUAAUCGUUAUUUAAUCUUCUUUUACUCAUAAAUUAUAGGGUUUUGGCGUUCGAGAUUAUUCUUGGUACAUCUGUAAAAGCCCUAGAAGGAAGCCCGUUACACCGGCAGGCGAAGCUGGUACACUUUUGACGGGGUUAAAGCUCUGGAGGCAUAUGAUGAAGGUGGUGUUAUAAAUAGAAAUUCUGGUCUUCAUGGAAUUGCAUCUUCUAUUGGACGCACUUUAGAAGGGCGAUUUCACGUCAUAUGUCUCGAUGAAUUGAUGUACGUUGGUAUUUGUCCUCUAUUGUUACCCUUCACUACAAUUUUUUACCUGAUGACCCACAAAACAUCGGAUAUGCUGUAAAUCUGGUCUUCUAAAUCCGAAAUUGCCAGGUGGAGAAAUCCCAUGUGGCUUCAUCGGAUAUGCUGUAAAUCUGGUCUUCUAAAUCCGAAAUUGCCAGGUGGAGAAAUCCCAUGUGGCUUCAUGGGAUAUGCUGUAAAUCUGGUCUUUAUAUUGAUUACCAAAACGUAUCCUGGGUCACGACCUCUGGCCAUGGCCUUAGAGAGACUCUCUUCUAUCAUCUAUUCUCCCUCCUGCAAGUUUAUAGAACUAUGAAAAAUAUGUAUAAGGCCCUCCCAUUCAUAAAAGAUGGAGCUGUAUCUUUUGGAUGGUGGAAUUUUGGAUGGUGGAAUAAUGAGUCCUGGUGUUUUUACCUUGGCCAUUGGGUUUUUUUUUGAAUAUCGAUGAUCAAAAUUUCCUCUUAGUAGCAUAGCCAUUGUGACAACUUUAAUUGUACAUUCACAUUUCUUCUGUUGCAACUGUACAAUUUCUUGGAACAAGCUAAGUUUAUAUGAUUAGCAAAGAAUUCUUUGAUAGAAGAGUAUAUUAUUAUUUGUUAGUAUGAUAUAUAUUACUCAUAUAAUAAAUAUGCAAACAAGGAACUUGGAUAUGAAAGUAUUAAUUUAAUAACAAAAUUAAAACGUAAAACUAAAAUUAAAAGAAUAAAAGAGAAGGAAAAUUCUUAUGAAAUGAAUGAGUUUGAUUCUUUUCGUUUCCUUUGUCGGUGAUGUUUUAGUAAAUUGCAUGUGAUAUACAAAUAGCAUAAAACAAAAUUUUGUGCUAAUUUUUUUUUAUUUUUAGACCACUAUUAAAUCUAUCAACAAUAAACGGCCACCAUAUCUGUAUGUAUUUUGUUUCUAAUAUAUAGUAUUAAAAAAUGUAAAUUGGAAUCUUAUAGAAGCUAACAAUAAAAAUUUUUAUUUGGUUUCACGAUCAAAAUAAUAUAAGUAAAAUAAUUCAAGAUCAUUCAUUAACUUUCUCCUAAUUUUAAUUUGUGAAUUUUAUUUGAUUUUCAAGUAUAAACAAACCAUCCCUACAUAUAAUAAUCAUUAUAAAUUUACUAAUUCUAAUAAAUUUUUGAAUGAUAAGUUUGUAAAUUAUAUUGUUAUACUGGUCGAGACUUGAACUAUUAUAUUAAUACUAAAAAGCUUUAGAGAAGACAAAUUGACUCAAAAAUAAUAUAUUAAUUUGUGAAAUUUUUUCUCACUAUAAAAUUUGUUCAUAUUAAUAAGUAAUAAUGUGCUUCCUACAUAUUUAUUAGCUAAUUAAUAAUUUCCAUCAACUAAAAAGCACGGAUGUUCGAAAACAAACCUUGUCUUGGCACUUCACCUCCAAGUUUGUUGUGGGAAAGAUUGAGGAAUUCGAUCAGAUGAAACCCAUCAAAAAUAUUUGGAAUAUCCCCGGAUAUAUUAUUACUUGAGAGAUCUAAAUUAUGAAGACUUUUCAAGGAUUUGAAAGAAGAUGGAAUUCUACCUUGAAAAAGAUUUCCGCCCAUGUACAGCCCCUCCAACAUCACACAAUCACCCAGGGUUGUGGGUAUUUCUCCUGUCAGUCUGUUAUUCCAAACAUCUAGUGUAACCAAUUGUUUCAAGUUUCCGAUGUUGAAUGUUAAGGGUCCUCCUGAGAAUAGAUUUUGGUCCAAAUUAAGGAAUAAACAUUGGGAAGAAAACCCAAUUUCCGCAGGUAUUAUUCCUCCAAGACUAUUCCAAUCAAAUAGAGUGUCUCUAUGGUGGUGGAGAGAUUUACAAUUGAGCUGGGGAGCUUCCCUCUUAAACCAUUCUGACUGAAGUCCAAGUAAGUUAGAAGGGUACAAUUUACCAGAGAAUUGAAAAAGAUCCAGUCUUGGAGCUGCGAAUAGUCUGCCAAUGGAUUCUGACCCAGACCUAGCACUUGAAGAUUAGGAAGGCUAUUCCAGUUGAUUGGUAUAGGCCCAGUAAUACUGUUUGCCGAGAUGUCAAGGUUAACAAGAUUGGACGCAUUAACUAUUGACGGUGGAAGUGGCCCUGAAAACAGGUUACCUUCACCGUAAAAGCCUUGCAACUUCGGAAGGGUGAAGCCUAAAUCUGAUGGAAGUGUCCCUUCUAAUACAUUCUGGUUUAGACCGACAAUAUAGAGGGACGAACUGUUGUAAAGUGAAGGCGGAACCAGACCCCCCAACCCGUUUACUCCUAAAUUAAGAAACUGUAAACUUGUAUGAUGUGCAAGUUCCAAAGGUAUGCCCCCAAAUAAAUUGUUAUAGGCUAGAUCAAGAUAAAGAAGGGUUGAUAUAUUACCUAUUGAAGGUGGAAUUGAGCCUGUGAAAUUAUUGACUCGAGCAUCAAACUGGUCAAGCUUAGACCAAGAGGAAAACUCGGUGGGUAGUUUUCCUUCAAGUUCGUUGUUACUCAUACUAAGUUUUCUCAUGUUUGUACAAUGACUCAAAUUGGCUGGGAAUUCACCUGUGAAAUAAUUCUGCCUCAAAUUAAGAUACUGGAGGCGAAACAAUAGUCCAAUUUCAUUGGGAAUCGAGCCAUGAAAGUUGUUCUGGUAGACGUAAAGUCCUCUGAGAAACGAAAGAUUACCAAUAUGUGGAGACAAUCUGCCCCCCACUUGUUGGUCGGAGAUAUUUAGUUUUAUUACUCUCUCCCGUCUGCUGCUGCACGUAACGCCCCCCCACUGACAGAAGUGCAUCGAAGUGUUCCAUGAGUCCAGGGCACCCAAUGGAUCAUCUAUGGAAGCCUUGAAGGAAAUCAAGGCCUGCUGAUCAGUGUCGUUGCUUCGAAAAGCAAAUACAAAUAUUUUCGGUGUUGCUGAUACUAGUAAACAGGAAAUGAUAAAUGGGAAGAUCAUGGUUGUAGAAUAAAACAGAGCAAUGAAGUAUUGCUACUGAAAAUACUGUGGACUAUAAUACAACCUUCAUGAUGUCUUUCCGCAACGACUUUGUAGGCCAAGUCGUGUUCAAAGAUCAUCAGCACAUAUUAAAUGGCGAUUAUGAUCUGCCAAAGAAGACUAAAUAUAAAACUAUAAUAGAAGUGCUUGUCAAGACUGUUUCUUGUAUACCAUAAGCACUCAUUCUUAUAUCUAUGCUAGCUCAUUAUACUUUCUAAUUUAGUUGUUCAACUUUUAAGGGGUAGAUUAGUGAGAGGUUUUGCAAUGAGAUAUAAGUUUUAUGGGUAAGAUGUAUGAAGAAGGGUAUGAUCAUGAAUUUUAUUUCUCAUAUUUUUAUAUUUAGUUAAGUAAUUAAAUACAAUGUUUAACACAAAAUUUUAUAAUGAUGCAAAAUUAUAUUGUAAUAAUAAUUUUAUUAAUAUAUUUAAUUAUUCUUGAAAAUUGAAUAUAUUGAUUUGAGAACUCAACCAAUUAUAUGAUAUCAACUACUCAUACCAUCUUAGCCGGAUACCAUAUGACACCUAUGAUUAGGUAAUUAGAUUAAGGCUCUGCAUUUUAAUAUAUAAUUAGAAAAAAGAAGAAAUAUUGUAUCACUAAAUGCUAUAUAUACUCUAUUUUGAUAUCUCAUUUUAAAAUUAAUUAUAGAUUUUAGUAUGUGAUAUAAAGUUGGUUAAAAUGACCACUUUAAAGUGGACAACUAAUUAUUAGAGUAUAUUAGUAUGAAGGGUUCUAUUAAAUAGAAAAUCAUGUAUUAUUAUAAUUAUCUCGUUAUAAAUAUUUUAACUAGAAUGAUCAAAAUUUUCAAAUUUUAUAGGGAUUUUAAUUAUAUCAAAAAAGUUGUGCUAAUUUUUGAGGAGUAUGUGUUUUAGAAAUAGUUACGUACAUGAAAGUUAUCCUUAGUCUGUUUUCAUAUUUUAAGUUUACUCCACCUAUAUUAUCAUAAACUUAAUCAUUUUUAUUUCGUGGAAUCAUCACAUACUUUAAAAAAGUUUCAAGUUAAAUUAUUAGUUGCUAUAUGAUUUAUUGCACUAAUUUAAACUCAGUAGAGCAUGCAUGAUCCUUGACUUUACUGACAAUAGAGCAUCCACAGGGAAUGUUCGUUCCUUGCCGUCCAGCAUGGCUGCACAGAUAGAAGUCAAACUCAGUGGGAUAUGUAUGAUCAUACAACUGUCCCUCGCACUACAUUCCUUGGUGAGUUGCAGAGUACAUAUGCUUGUGACACUGAUUCCAGCACGCAACUGAUGCCUUUUCUUUAGUACAUUUUUGGAGCAUUUUCUUCAUUAUUUGCUGAAAUUAUGCCAUAUAUAUUUGAAUUCAGAGGAUGUCCACAAUAACAUCUGAAAUAAAACUUUAUAUUAAUCGAAAUAUAUAGUGCAGUCAAAGAUACUAUUGUUCCUAUGAUGCCAAACAUAAGAUAACUAGGCAUCCAAUUACCCGAGGAACUUGUGAAUAAAAAACACAGUGAUCAUCUGCAGUGCAAUGAAAUGAGUGAUAUAAAAUUUCAUAUAUAGCAUUAUUUAAGUGAAAUUUCACUAUUUAAGAAUAACAAAAUUAGUGUCGUAUUUGAGUAUGUUAAAAAGUAUUAGUGAGAUUAAUAAGUAAUUAAUUUUACUAAAUGUAAAUAUUAAUAAAAAAUUUCAAAUAUUAAAUCCUUACCAUUUUUUUAAAUAUUGUACAAAUUUUACAUUCUUAAUUAACUAGUUUGAUUUUCUCUUACAAAAUUGUGGCAUUUUUAAAAUCACAUAGGAAUCUAGAAUCAUAUACGAACAAACGCCCCUAAUUAUUGUGAUCUAGGUACCUGCUUGUAUCUAAAAUCUAAAAUUUUAUAAUCACAAAAAAUCCUUAUAAUUAAAAGUGGUAAAAAGUACAAACCUGCUUGCAUCUAAAAUUUUAUAAUCACACAAGAUCCUUAUAAUGAAUAGUGGUAAAAAGUACAAGCCAGAUCUGCUUGUAUAAUCUAAAAUUUUAUAAUCACACAAGAUCCUUAUAAUUAAAAGUGGUAAAAAGUACAAACCAGAUCUACUUGUAUCAGUUUGGGAUCUGAUGGCGCAGGUGCUUGUUGGUAUGAAUUUACUUUGAGCAUCACAACAAACGUCCCUAUUUAUCGUGAUUUAGGUAUCUGCCUGUAUCUAAAAUUUUAUAAUCACGAAAAGUCCUUAUAAUUAAAAGUGGUAAAAAGUACAAAUCAGAUCUGCUUGUAUCAUUUUGGGAUCUCAUGGCGCAUGUGCUUGUUGGUAUGAAUUUACUUUGAGCAUCACAACAAACGCCCCUAAUUAUCGUGAUUUAGGUAUCUGCUUGUAUCUAAAAUUUUAUAAUCACAGAAAAUCCUUAUAAUUAAAAGUGGUAAAAAGUACAAACCAGAUCUGCUUGUAUCUGUUUGGGAUUUGAUGGCGCAGGUGCUUGUUGGUAUGAUAUUACUUUGAGCAUCACAACAAACGCCCCUAAUUAUCGUGAUCUAGGUAUGGAAGACAAGUCUUUUUCUUCUUUUUUGCGAUUCAAACAUAAAUAUAUUUAUAGAUAUAUAUAUUCACAAAUGAUAUAACAAAAAAAAUCUAGUACAUAUACUAAAGAAUGUUAAUUUAAAGAAAUAAACAACUCUUAUUAAGUUGGAAUUGCAAAGAUAAAUUUACUUCUUCGUAUUCAUUAUAUGGUGGCUGUAUGGAGAAAAUUGUGAAGGUUAUACCUCUCAGGUAAAACCUAUACCUCUAUAUAUAGCACAUCAAUAUAUCUAGAAUGUUCCUCAAUUUGGGUUUGGUCACAACUAGUGGGCCUGGAUUUGCCAUUUAACUAUAUUCUAGAAAUUUAUAACAUUUUUAAUUUUGAACUAUUAUUUACUUUAAUUCAUUUUAUAAUAUUUUUUGAAGAUUUGAGGUUCUUCUCUCAUUUUGUGUAACAUUUUAGACUGACUUGGGCUUGAGACAUUAUGGGCCUUCUUUUUUGGAUCUUAACUAGUUAAACAAGUAACUUGGAACUUUAACAUGUUAAAGAUAGUGUAAAUAAGUGAAAUGCUUUAUUUUCAUUUCCCACUUCCAAUAAAUAUAUAAAAUUUAAAUAUAUACUUUUCUCCAUCUUUCAACUCACUAGCUAAGACAUCCCCUCAUCCCCAUCCACCUAUCUACUCCAUCAUCAUCUUUCUUUUUCUCUAUUCAUCGAAAUUGUUUCCUUCAUCCCGACGACCUCUCCAUGUAUCUUUUCUCCCCCAUCUUCUUACAUCUCUCUCUUCGUCGAUAUGAUUCAAAUGCAAAAUACUCAUACAUCUUAUAGUUUGUCAUAUCUUAGGUAAAAUGGAAAUGGUAAUAUGAGAUGUGAGCCGCUCGGAUCCGUAAUAAAAGACGAUGGUAGUUAAAUCGUUUGUGGAAGAGAGAGAGAAACUACUGUGGUAGGUGAACUACCUGUGGAGGAGAUAAAAAUCAUUGUUGUAAUUAAGUCACUAGCGUAGGAGAGAGGUCAUGUCGUGGUAGUUGGAUCGUGGGAAGAAAUUAAGAGGAGGCACUUAAAGCGGAAGAUAUUGGUGUUAUAUAUUAAAUUUGAUAAUUUAUCAAAAAUAAUAGAACAAAAUCAAUUGAAUUUUUGAUCUGGAUGUUACUUGCGGAAAGAUGAGAUAAUAACAGAGAUAGGAAGUGGUUCUCACUAUAAUUAUAUAGAUAAUAUUGAUAAUAUUGUAUAUAGCUAAUAUAUAAAUAUGUUAUAAGAAUCAAAAAGAUUUCAUUAGAGUAAGACUAUAUAUAUUAUAUAUAUUAAAUAUUUGAUAUAUUUUUUCGUUAUACUUAGUUAUAAUUUUUAACAUACAAUUAGAUCUAAAUAUAUUCAAACAUGCAAUGCGAUAAUUUAUUUAUAAAAAUCAAUUUUUCUUCAUCUUAUAUUAUAGGUACAAGCUAUUUUGCAUGGUAACUACUAACUAGAUGACAUUUAUAUUUAUAAAUCAUCAUGUGUUAUUUUUAUUAUUUGUAUUAAAUAAUUUCAAUAAGUGUAAGGAAAUGUUCCCUUACUAAAAACCUCUUUAUUAAAAAAUAUGAGAGCUCAAAUUAUUUUAAAGAACAAUUUUUUUCAUAUUUUUCAUCAUCUUUGAGAAUAUGAAAAAUUAGUUAAAUAAAAUAAUUAUAUAAAUGUAGUAAUUAAAUGACGGUAUUUGUUAGGGAUUUUUUUUUUAAAUGAUAAUGUAUCAGGAGCUGAAGAAGUAAUUUUGAAUAUAUAUAUUAUAUUGAUCAGUUCCAUAAAAUAUAUUCUUCUAGAUUUCUACUUACCAUCCUCCCCUUGGUUUCUCCGCCGGAAAAUACCACAUAAUUGUGUGUACAAAAUUUUGUACAUAAUGACAUGUGUUGGGUAGUAAUUGGAAUGAGCCCGCUGUAUUUACAUCAACCACCCAAUUAAAACCCAGCACAUUCAUUGCCACAUUAUUAUGUACAAAAAUUUUAUACACAAUUUUGUGCACCUAGCACUACUCUUUCUCCGCCUCCCUAUCUUUCCUCGUUUUUUACGUCUUCCCUCCUUUUGUCCGCCUCCUUAUAUUUCCUCGGUUUCAUCGCCUCCCCUUGAUUUUCACACAUAGACACACACUUAUAAUCAUAAGAAGAAUGGGCAUGAGCACUAAAGCGUGCCUCUAAAUAGGUGAGCAUUGAAAUGAUUUGGCGGUUAAAUUUUAAAAAUGGAGAUCGAUCGAUGUAUAUGCAUAUGUGUUUCCCUUGAUAAAAGUUGGUGCCAUGUAAGUAGAAGAGUUUUAAUUUAAUAUUACGUGGAUUUAAUUUCACCAUUUUGAUUUCAUGGGUAUUCUUUAUUUAAUCUUCUACUCAAAAUUUUUAGGGUAUUCGAGGUUGUUCUUGGUACAUUACUACGAUCUUUAAAAGGCAAAUGAAGCCCCUUACACCAGCAGGUGAAACUGGUGUGGGGAGUACUAGGCCUAGAAGGCAAAGGGGUAGCCUCUGGCUGAAGAAGAGCCAGGCAUUGAUGUGGACACAUCUGAAGGUGUCCUCAGACCUGGACAUCACCUCUCUGCUUAUGCUAGAGAUUGAAGGUAGCAUAUUGAUAUAUAUAUUUGUUAAUAUUCUUCUUUUCCAUGAUCAGCUUCCAUUUUUAAGUAGUAAUAUAAUCAUUGGUGUUGUAUAGCAGGAACCUAUACACAAGAUCUUAAUUGUCCAAGUAGAAUAUUUGUCCAGCAUUUUUAGGUUAAUUGACGGGGUCUUUAGAUUUCUUGUUGGUCGAAUUAUAGUUUUCAUAUGCUUUAAACAGUCAGUUUAAAAUGAAUUUUAGUUCUUUUUUUAUUAUUAAAUUUGUGUUUUUGGUUGGAAUCUGUUUAGUAUGUUUAGGUUGAUUUUUUUAUGUAAUUACAUAUACCUCCACAUAAUAAAAGUUCAAAUAUGAAUUAAUUUUUUUAAUUUGUGAUCCAUAAUUGGGUGAGUAAUAUUUUGUCUCAAUGGAUUAUUAUAGGUGAUGUGAAGAUAUAUGGGUUCGUGGAAGAAGCUUUGGAUGAUGAUAUAUAGGACGAGAGGAGGUGNUCUUUCCUCGUUUUUUACGUCUUCCCUCCUUUUGUCCGCCUCCUUAUAUUUCCUCGGUUUCAUCGCCUCCCCUUGAUUUUCACACAUAGACACACACUUAUAAUCAUAAGAAGAAUGGGCAUGAGCACUAAAGCGUGCCUCUAAAUAGGUGAGCAUUGAAAUGAUUUGGCGGUUAAAUUUUAAAAAUGGAGAUCGAUCGAUGUAUAUGCAUAUGUGUUUCCCUUGAUAAAAGUUGGUGCCAUGUAAGUAGAAGAGUUUUAAUUUAAUAUUACGUGGAUUUAAUUUCACCAUUUUGAUUUCAUGGGUAUUCUUUAUUUAAUCUUCUACUCAAAAUUUUUAGGGUAUUCGAGGUUGUUCUUGGUACAUUACUACGAUCUUUAAAAGGCAAAUGAAGCCCCUUACACCAGCAGGUGAAACUGGUGUGGGGAGUACUAGGCCUAGAAGGCAAAGGGGUAGCCUCUGGCUGAAGAAGAGCCAGGCAUUGAUGUGGACACAUCUGAAGGUGUCCUCAGACCUGGACAUCACCUCUCUGCUUAUGCUAGAGAUUGAAGGUAGCAUAUUGAUAUAUAUAUUUGUUAAUAUUCUUCUUUUCCAUGAUCAGCUUCCAUUUUUAAGUAGUAAUAUAAUCAUUGGUGUUGUAUAGCAGGAACCUAUACACAAGAUCUUAAUUGUCCAAGUAGAAUAUUUGUCCAGCAUUUUUAGGUUAAUUGACGGGGUCUUUAGAUUUCUUGUUGGUCGAAUUAUAGUUUUCAUAUGCUUUAAACAGUCAGUUUAAAAUGAAUUUUAGUUCUUUUUUUAUUAUUAAAUUUGUGUUUUUGGUUGGAAUCUGUUUAGUAUGUUUAGGUUGAUUUUUUUAUGUAAUUACAUAUACCUCCACAUAAUAAAAGUUCAAAUAUGAAUUAAUUUUUUUAAUUUGUGAUCCAUAAUUGGGUGAGUAAUAUUUUGUCUCAAUGGAUUAUUAUAGGUGAUGUGAAGAUAUAUGGGUUCGUGGAAGAAGCUUUGGAUGAUGAUAUAUAGGACGAGAGGAGGUGUUUGAAGCGGUGGUAGAGUAACAAACCGAAAAGGAAAAUGCAAAAGCAAAAAUUUCAUUACUUGUUCUAAAAUUAAAAACAAUUUAGUGACAUGUUUUGUAUCCAUCAGAUAGAUGUUUUUAUUAUUAAAAUAGGUUUCUUAUCUAUGACUUUAUCAGUAAAUUGCAUCUAAUGAGUCUAUUAAUGGUGAACAUGCAUCUCUAAUGAUGGAAUGAAUCGUUAAAACAUUACAAAUUUAAUAUCUAACUAUUUUAAAUAUCUUUACCCUUAAAAGACCUAGUCUUAGUUUUGUGUGCAUUCUUUUUUUACAUAGUAAAUGAAUAUGAAUACAUUCUGCUUAGCUGUUUCUUUGUAAAUGAUUUUUUACAUUAAAAAAACAAUUUUUCUCGAAUGUGCAUAUAUAUAUAUAUAUAUAUAUAUAUAUAUAUAUAUAUAUUAUGUAAGCACUUUAUGAUUGUUAGAUUACUUUGUUAGAUCUGCAUUAAUCAAUCCCGCCUUCUAUGGUAAAGACAUAAGUUAAUUAAAUCUAACUGAUCUCUACUAGAAUGCUCCGUAUUAACCAUAGAAAGAGCAAUGAUGAUGUUAUGGAUCCACCAAAAGAUUUCUUCUAAACUGAGAAAAUAGGUUAAAUAUAGUGAUAACUAUAAAAAUAUGAAGAGCUAUGGGCUUAACCUAUUGCUUAACAUGGUUUUGGUAUUCACUUAAUUUUAUUGACUAGAAAUUCUAAAAAUUUGAUUCAAUAGGCCAACUAAAUCAUGAUAUAUUCAUAUCACUAAUAAGUCUAUAAGAUAAAGACCAUCUAUGUGGAAGAGGAGUGCGACAUCUUUUAUGAAAAAUUAUAAUGACAAUUCUUUAUAAACUCUAUAGCAUGUAUUAUGUUCCAUGGCUAAAUACACAUAUUCAUGAGAAUCCUUCAUAUAUCUCGUUGCUAAAUAUUAUAAUGGCAAUCCUUCAUAUAUCUGGUUACUAAUUGAGUUAUAGUAAGAGAAUUCCUCCAACCAUGCCAUAAAUAGAAAAAUUGCCUCCUACUAAUGAAUUAUAAGCAUAUAUCUUUUUUUUUUUACUUUCUUUUCUUAACGACGAGAAUCUAUUAUCGCUUUUUGUGUGUCCUCGGAAAUUUAAAGUAGGUGCAAAUUCUCCCAAUUGGUGGCCUACCAUACGAUCGGUUAUAUAAAUAGGUAAAUGUUCCUUUCCAUUAUGGAUAGCAAUGGUAUGGAGAGCAACCACUGUUUCUAAAAUCAUUGCACGCCCAUCCAUAUAGUAUGUAGGAUAUUAUAAUCAAAAACAGGGCUUGUAGUGAGAAAAAUUUAAAAAAACUAGUAACUCAAAUAAGGUAACAACCAAAAUACUAGAAUUUCCUUUAUAAUAAUCUUAAGAACCACUUAAUUACUCAUGACAAAUGAAGCAGUCGAAUACUAAUCCAAGGUAUAUAACUAAAGUUCUCUUUCAAGCUCAAUAGUCUAUUAACUAAAAAUUUUAGCUUACUUAUCUAAGGUGGGGAUCAUGAUCAUUUUACUGAAUUUUUUGAAACAAAGGAAAGAUUUCAUUAAAACAAAGCAUCCGACAAUAUUGUCUCCAACACACACGAUGGAGGAGACGAGAGAUCAAUGAAGCUGCUAGGCAUACAAGGUAAUCUAGCUAAAGAGUGCGCUACCCUGUUAGCAUGCUUCUUAAUGAAACGAACUGAGACACCUACUUUACUGCUUAAUUAGAAUAGAACGGCAUUGAGCUACUAAAUCUCCGAUCUCUAGCUGAUUUUGCUUGUCCUUGUUUAUCGCCUGAACACUUAGUAAGGAGUCACUUUCAAUCACAGCGGUUUGCUCCUGGAAUGCAGCAGACCACAAAAGAGCUUCCAGAACACCUACUAGUUCAGCCUCAAGCACCGUAACUUUCCCUGGCAAUCGCAUUGUUUUACCUUUGAUAAACAGACCCUGAUGGUUUCUUAUCACCAUUCCCACGGAGAAUGAAUCUGCUCCCUCAAAAACUGAGGCAUCAACAUUAAUUUUCAGCGUUCCAAUAUCAGGAGCCACCCAUCUGUUAGCAUGCUUCAAUGUAUUGCUCUGCUGUUGGCUAGAGGUACUAUUCUUUCGCUUUUGAGCUUCCCUCCAUUCUACUAUCUGUUUUGAGCUCCAUGUCAUAGCAGUCUCAGCAGAAAUCUCCUUUCCUUCCCAAACCCGUUGGUUCCUAGCCCACCAAACUCCCUAGAUCACCGUUGCUAUUUUGAUGAGAUUGCUACUUGAUUCAGAAUGCAGCCUGUCCAGAAGCCAUUCUGGGGCACUUUCGACCUCCCACAUAUCAUACAUUAAUCCCACACCCUUCCAACAACACUUAGCAAAUUCACAGUCAAAAAACAGAUGGAAUAGGUGUUCCACCUCUCCUGUACACAUCACACAAGAUAUAGGGACGUGAAUACCUUUGACUCUGAGAAGGUUUCGAACAGGAACAUUGUUCCGACAAAGUCUCCAGAGGAACGUUCUGAUCUUGUAGGGGAUAUUCAGGCGCCAGAUUUUUCCCCAUCCAUUUGAUUGUUGCAGAGCUGCUUCCCCCCUAUGCUGUGAGUGCCAAUAAUGGUAACCCGAUUUCAGAGAGUACUGUCCAUUGCUAGAAUGAACCCAGGCUAUCCUGUCACUUGUACUGAUUUCACUACAAGAAAAAACACUAAAAGCCACAAACAAAAGCGAUCAAGUAUAAAAGCCACCGAAAGCGGUGGCUUUUACUUAAAAUACAAAUUUGAGUUGACUGAUAAACAAAAGCAACCGUGUUUGGUAGCUUUUAUUGACCGUGGCUUUUGUUUGGUGGCUUUUAUCCAGGGUCGCUUUUGUUUGGUGGCUUUUAAAUAUAAAAGCGACCGGAUAAGUCUCGCGGUCGCUUUUAACUUUCAUGUGUUUUGAGCGGGAAUUUCCCGCCUAAAAGAAGUAAAAAAAAUAUAAAAACCAAAGCUACUAUUUUAUAGCCGGUCGCUUUUGUCAGUAAUAAUUAUUUUAUGAUUUUUAUAAAAAAGUUCACGAGUCACACAUAUUAAUAUGAGUUGAUUUUGUAAUAUGAAGAAAUAAAAAUAAAUAUUUAUUUAUAUAUUUUUAUAAUAGUCAAGAUCAAAUAAUUUUUUUUAAAUAACUAGUCUUGUGAUAUAUGAUAUUUGAUUUAUUUUUUUCACCAUUCAAUCAUAAAUAUCUUAAUAUGUGUUGAUUUUAAUUAUGUGAAGAAAUAAAAGAUAACAACUUAAUUUUCUCAUAAUGGUCAAGAAAAUUUAACAAUUAUUUUUAACUAGUCUUGUCAAGAAUGAUUAUUUUCGUUUUUCUAAAAUUUAUUUAACUAAUUUGUGGAAUUUGAGUCGCUAAAAUAGCUGCAGCAUCUACGUUAUUGAAUGUAUGUCUAACUUUCACUUCAUCCCAAACCUUCUUAUCCCUCAUGAAACAGCAUUACAGCAGCCUCGGCGGGACAGUGGUGGGCAAUGGCACCCAAAGGGUCGGGGCUGACAGUAUAUGUGGGUUGGUCUGGUGGGAGUGGAUGUGGGUGAGUAAAGUGGCAGUACAUGACUGUAGGUGAGGAUGUGACUAUGGUUAUCAGGUUAUGAAAGAAAUUUUUGCUUUUUAUUUAAUUUUAUUUAUAUUCUAUAACUUAUAUAUAUAUAUAUAUAUAUAUAUAUAUAUAUAUUAAAUAUUUGAUAUAUUUUUUCAAAAUACAUAUUUAUAAUUCGGUUUUUCUAUGGUGUGCCCAAGGGCACACACUAAGCACUUUUAUGAGUUUGGUGCAUUCUUAUUGGUCAUGUAAUCAUAAAUAUGGAUGGCCCCCUGCAUUUACACCAACUCCACCAAUUAAAAUCCACUAAACUCAUCAAAUUUAGUGCUUAAUGGGUGCCCUUGGGCACACACUAGAAAGACCCUUUAUAAUUUUAACAUAUAAUUAGAUUUAAAAUUUUCAAACAUGUGAUGCCAUAAUUUAUUUCAGAGAAAUCUAUUUUCCUACUUCUUACAUUUUAAAUAAAAGUUAUUUUGCUUGCUAACUAGAUAAAAUUUGUAUUUAAGUAUAAUAAUAUAUUAUUUUCUUAUCAGUAUGUGUAAAUAAUUUCAGUAAGUGUAACUAAAUAUUUCCUUAUUAAUAAAAACCUCUACACUAAGAAGUAUGAGAGCACAAAUUAUAAUAAAGGAGUUAUUUUAUAUUUUUUUCAUCUUUGAGAAUACAAUAAAUUAUUCAAAUAAAAUAAUUAUGCAAGGAAAAUAAUUAAAUGAGGGUAACUGUUAAGAAAUUUUUUGUUAAGAUAAAUGAUAAUGUACAGAGUUCAAGAAGUAUUUGUUGAAUGUGUAUAUAUUAUAUUGAUCAAUUUGAUAAAAUAUACUAUUCCCCACAUUUUGUUAAAAAUAAUUAUAUAUAAUUUUGACUAUAAAAUAAAAGAAAUGUGUGGGUGAUUCUGGAUUAUUCUUGUUGCAUGCAUUUGUUUUUAAUUUUGAAUGCAUGUAUUAGUCCUGAUGCAUAAUCUCUAGAAUAUUCUAGUCUUUUGCUUUCUAGCAUUUAAUUAGUCUCCAGAUCUUUCCAUUGAGUCCUAUAUAAAGCCUUGUAUCAAAUCAUUUUUCAUCAACUAAGUUAAAGCAAUUCAUUUUAUAUAAAAUUCUCUUUUCCUAAAUAUUUGAGUUGUGGGAGUUUUAGUGAAAACCAUUCUUCCCCUAUACAUCCAACACAACCAUUCUUCCCCUAUAUAUCCAACACAUUUUUAGCCCACAUCCCGGUUCUACGUCUAUUCUAGUUUUGUCUGCCUCCUUAGAUUUCCUCGGUUUCUUCGCCUCCCCUUGGUUUCUCCGCUAUAAAAUUUAACAUAUAUAUAUAUAUAGUCUUAAAAGAAUGGCCAUGAUAAUCGCUAAAGCGUGGCUGUUAAUAAGUGAGAAUUGAAAUGAUUUGCCGAUUAAAUUUUAGCAAUGGAGAUCUAUAUAUGCCUAUAUGUGUUUCCCUUGAUAAAAGAUGGUUCCAUGUAAGUUCAAGAGUUCUAAUUUAAUUGUGCGGAUUAUAUUAUUUAACCAUUUUGAUUUGAUGGGUAAUCUUUAUUUAAUCUUCUUUUACUCAUAAAUUUUAGGGUUUUGGCAUCCGAGAUUGUUCUUGGUACAUCUGUAAAAGCCCUAGAAGGAAACCCGUUACACCGGCGGGUGAAGCUGGUACACUUGGGGGGAAUACCAGGCCUAGACGGCAAAGGAAUAGCCUGUGGCACAGAAGUGGACACGUCUCAAGGUGUCUUCAGACCUGGAGAGAGAGCCAUCCCUGACACACAACCUCUCCAGGACAUAUGUCUAUAUAUAUAUAGACAGUGAUUCAGAUGAGAAGCAGCGAGAUUACCAAAACCUAUCCUGGGUCACAACCUCUGGCCAUGGCCUCAGAGAGACUCUUUUCUAUCAUUUAUUCUCGCUCCUGCAAGUUUAUAGAACUAUGAAAGAUAUGUAUAAGGCCCUCCCAUUCAUAAAAGAUGGAGCUGUAUCUUUGGAUGGUGGAAUAAUGAGUCCUGGUGUUUUUGACCUUGGCCAUUGGGUUUUCUUUUGCAUAACGUUCAAAAUUUCCUCGUAUUAGUAGCAUAGCCAUUGUGACAACUUUAAUUGUACAUUCACAUUUCUUUUGUUGCAACUGUACAAUUUCUUGAAACAAGUUUAUAUGAUUAGUAAAGAAUUCUUUGAUAAAAGAGUAUGUUAUUAUUUGUUUGUAUGAUAUAUAUUAUUCAUAUAAAAAAUAGAGGAAAAAGGAGGUGAGAUGAACAUUAUAUAAGAUAGUUGGUUACAUCAGGCUAAACGACAUCUGCUGCUGUCGUUUCAAGAUUAUUUCUUAAGCAAAUCAUACUCCAUGUACUUUCAGUAACAUCAUUAUUAAUCAUAAAAAUUUGUUUUCAAACAAAACGUGUUAAUUCUAUUCUUUCAAGAUUAUAAUGAUCCAGAGUAAAGUUGACAUAAUUAAAGAACACAGCAGCGGCUACAACUCAACUAUUAUGUUUGGGAGAAGAGUGGAUAAAACACAUCGACAGUUGAGUCGGUUCUUUACAUUACAAAUGAACUGUAUCAAGUUGUAGAUGUCUGGUAGUAAUGGUGUCACUACAAGGAAAGCGGCUUAUUUCGACCGCCAGAAUACGGUCGAAAAUAGUUAUUUUCGACCGCAAAAAACCGGUCAUAGAUAACGUGGUCGAAAUUCGGUUCCCGGUCGAAAAUAAUUAUUUUCGACCGCUUUUCGACCGGCUAAUUUCGACCAAAUACGGUCGAACAAUUCCCCACGACAAUUUGACUUUGAAAAUUUUGAAAAUUUGGAAUGCCGCUCAAAAUUUGAAAUUGCGGUCGAAUUUAUAAUUUCGACCGCUGUUUAAAACUCCCGCCAAUUUCUUGCCACAAUUUUGUGGUCGAAAUUAUUUGACCAUUUAAUUUUUCCGGUCGAAUUUAUUAUGCAAAUUGCUGAAUUUUUUUUUCGACCUUCAUUUUUUCCGGUCGAAUAUAUUAUGCAAUUAUAAAAAAAAUUCAGUUUGUGCAUACCUCUACCUACCUGUACAAAUCCAAGAAUUGAAAUAUCCAACAAACAAUAAUUUUAAAACAAAUUCUACAUCCAAACCCCCUGACAUAAAAUAAAGGCUUAAGAGGCACACUGCCAUUGCAAUCCAUAAUCCAAAAUACAAGUUAUACGUUACUUGUUAUCGACAAAAUAUAUAUAAGUGAUACUUCCAUCACUGGCAUCAACCAAAACAUAAGUUAGAUAUUUGUCAAAUUCCAGGAAACUACCUCAUUCACAGCUGCCUAUACUAAGAUAAAGGGUAUAAAUAAGCAUUAACAUCAAACUCUCCUUCCCCUUCCCUGCGGGCUCUGGCUGACUAGGCUCCUUCUCCUUCCCCGCCGGCUCUAGCUGACUAGACUGUUAAAAGAACAUAAAUUAGUUAAAACAUAGAUACAGGUCAAAAUUGAUUAGUUAAAGAAAAUAAGCCAAUAGUAGUUAAAACACAAAAUAAAUAGACGAAUAAAAAAUGGAGCACAUUAAAAGAAGAUUGAACUAAUCUCAUGGCUAACAUUAACGUUGACCAUUUAUGAAUGUUUAAAGGUUUCUGGAUCAAUUUUUUACAAUAUCAUGGAAGGUACAUUCAACAGAACUUUGUUCUAGACAUUUGGGAUAGAAAUAAUGAUAUUAUGUUGGCAAGAGUCUUGAAAAGAAAUGAUCUUUUAGUAAGCAGCAAACGUUAUGAAAACUUCAGAUACAGAAGUGUGCCAACUGAAACAAAAAACUGAGAACUUACAAUGCUACCAAAAGGCCGAUAGAAUAUAUGUUCAAAUUAAAACAUAGAUAUUACAGACAGGCAGUUACCAAUCACCAUUUAAUACUUGUGAUCCAACCCAUUAUCAACGAGAGCGAUGGAGUUAAGAUUCCAGUACUAUUCCACUUAAUUAAGAUGAGAACUAAAGCAUUAAAAUCAAUCUUCUUCUAUGCCACUUGACUAAAACAAGAACUAAAAGCAUAGGAAUAACUUGCAAUCAUGGAGCACAUUAAAAGAAGAUUGAACUAAUCAACUAGUAAAGGAGAAGCGUUGCCCAUACUACAACUAGAAUAUCGAUCAAAUCAAACAAAUGGAAACACAAUCAGAUCAAAAGUAAAUAGUAGAACUUAACAGCUUCAGAUCCAUAGCAACAUAAAGAAACUCCAAACAAAGCCACAUGACCAAGAGAUGCAUGCCGUGAUCACAGAAAACACAAAACAACUAAAUCCACCGACACAGAAAAACAAACAAACCAGCAUUUCAACAUUGACAUUUCAAAAUGAAAUUAUGAUCCACAUCUAAUCACACAACCCAAAACAAUCCAGAUUCAAACAUAUUAUCUUCAUCAUAAUGUGAAUUUAACAAUAUUAAACUAUAUUCAUCUCAUAAACAAAUACACACACACACACACACACUGUUUCACACCAUCAAUGCGUAAGCAGAGUAGUUAAUCUCAUAUUUAUUAUGUAAGAUGUGGCACGAACAGCAGGUGAACAAGUUGGACAAUAGAGCAAAAAACUUAAUAUUAUCUUUAUUAUAUUUACUAAUGUACUCAAGUUCACAUGAUGAAAUGAUAUAUGUUGUACAGAUAUUAAAAGAUACAGUAAAUUAAUAAAAAUGUCAAUGCACAAGCAUGAAGAAUUAUUUGCAUAUUGAAAAAGAAAUACCAAGUGCAGAAAGAAAGACAAGGAUAUGGAAAGCUAGGUUUAUUGUCGCUAAGCUGGGGGCACAUACCUUUAUAAUGACCUUGUCAUUAUCGAUGAGAAUUUUUGGAAUUAAUCCCCUAGCUGCCCGGAUGUAGUGAGUCCGAUAUAACUCCUGGACUUGGUUCGGAAAAGCUGCAGUGGCUAACUUGCUAAGUUCCUGAUCGAGAAAGGCUUGUGUGAUCUCACGUGUAGGCAACGCAUGUACCAUCAGCUGCAAAUUGCCCAAUAUAACAGACAUCAUCCCAUAAAUAUGAUCUGAAACCUCAUUGACGGACUCGCGCGGUUUUUCAGCAUAUUGUGCUGCCUCUGCUCUUCCAACAAGCUCUGACACUCUCUAUCCGGGAAAAAGACUCAGUUUCCCUUUCCUAGGAGGUUUAGCCUUUAGCAACACCAACAGAUCUCGUUUUUGCUUAAUUUCUGUAGAAAUUUUUUCACCAUCUUCAGGCAAUGGAGGCAUAGAAGACUCAACCUCAAUCAUUUUCUCCUACAAUAUAACAAGCAAGAAUUCAACAGUAAGAUUCAUUUGCAUAAUUGCAUAAUUUAUUUAUUUGUUUAAAAUAAAAAAGUAAAUUAACUGUGACAAAUAGCUUAUAUUUUGUAAAUUAACUAUUACAAGAAAUAGAGCCGCCAACUUCUGAGUACCCUGACAUGCACGAUAACUUCAUUGCCGAUCAAAGAUAUAUUGUUAUCAGCUAGUCAAAAUAUCUAAUUCAAUGAGCUAGUCAAAAUAUCUAAUUCACUCCGCUAUCAGCUAACCGUUAAUUUCCAAACAGGCCAAUAUAUAAGUUACGUGAUUCUUGAACAAUUAUUAACAAAGUGUGCGUGCGUGCAUUCUGCUUAGUGUAACAAGAAUCAGAUUCUCCGAGUAGCUAUAAUACGUUGCACGGACAACUAAUUAAAUGUGUCUUAACAUGAUCAUGAAUGAUGAUCGAUCAAUGCUUUUAUAUACGUGACCACCUGCUACUCGUAUAUACUACUGUACUAUAUAUCUAGCUAGAAUGUCUAUGAACUUAAGUUAGGCUAUAAAUAUACGGGCCUGUAAUUUGAAUUUAGACAUACUGAUACUCGUGUGCAGCUAAGAGUAUUAAUAUCAACUACGAGUAUGAUUUGAAUUAAUAAUUAUACGAGUUGAUAUUAAUACACCUGUCGAUAAACUAAUUAAUUAGUAGAAAACAUGAAAUCAGAAAAUAAGCUGAAAAGAUCCAAAAUCACCAAGCAAAUAGAAAUGGGGUUUGGUUUUCUGUUACCUAUUUUGUCCUGCUAAACGGAAUCUAAAUUUGCAGUAUAAUAAUUUGCAGUAAAACAAACCUUCAGUUCUUUCACUGCUGGUUCCUCAGGAUUAUAUACAUAAUCCACAAACUCUAAAUGUGUUAGUGGUGGCAAGCCUUUCGCCUCUCUUUCUUUAUCAAUUUUCUUCCGAGCAAAUAUAAAAAAUUAAAAAAUCAGUGCACCAAUUUACUUGACAAGUGAUACAAAUAAAAAGAACAUGGAAACUAAUAGAAAAAUACCCUUUUUUCUUGUAGUGUGUUUAGUAUAUUCAUGGUAGAGCAUCACCGCCUCUGAGGAGAAACAAAAGAAGACGCGACAAGAAUAUAUAUGUGUAUAACUACUGUAUUUUUCUUUUAAUAAUUAAAAAUGGCAACUGCUCCCGUGUUUGUGUUAAAAGGCAUGUCGUUUUGACCUCAUAUAAGGCAUUCGUAUAUGAGGUUAAUCUCACCUCCAUUUUUCUCUAAUAAAUAUGCAAAUAAGACACUCGAAUAUGAAAGUAUUAAUUCAAUAACAAAAUAAAAACCAUGAGUAUCAAGGAAAACUAAAAUUAAAGGAAUAAAAGAGAAGGAAAAUUCUUAUGAAACAAACACCAACGAAUGAGUUUGAUUUUUUUCAUUUUCUUUGUUGGUUAUCGCGAUGUUUUAAUAAAUUGCAUGUGAUAUCCAAAUAGCAUAAAACAAAAUUUUGUGCUAAUUUUCUUAUUUUUAGACCACUAUUAAAUCUAUCAACAAUAAAUAGCCACCACAUCUAUAUGUAUUUUGUUUCUAAUAUAUAGUAUUAAAAAAUGUACAUUGGAAUCUUAUAGAAGCUAACAAUAGAAAUUUUUAUUUGGUUUCACGAUCAAAAUAAUAUAAGUAAAAUAAUUCAAGAUCAUUCAUCAACAUUCUCCUAAUUUUAAUUUGUGAAUUUUAUUUGAUUUUCAAGCACAAACAAACCAUCCCUAAAUAUAAUAAUCAUUAUAAAUUUACUAAUUCUAAUAAAUUUUUGAAUGAUGAGUUUCGUAAAUUAUUUUGUUAACUAUUAUAUUAAUACUAAAAAGCUUUAGAGAAGACAAAUUGACUCAAAAAAUAAUAUAUUAAUUUGUGAAAUUUUUUCUCACUAUAAAAUUUGUUUAUAUUAAUAAGUAAUUAUGUGCUUCUUACAUAUUUAUUAUCUAACUAAUAAUUUAAUAAUAAUAUGAUGAAAUAUAUUUUACUCGAAUAAAAGAUCAUUCUGUGUUUUCUUGAAAAAAAAUUCAAACUUUUAAUUAUUCAAAUUAUUAUAAAUAUGAUAAAUUUAAUUAAUUCUUACACAUUCAUUAAUAAAAGUUAUUUUAAUGUUGUAUUUAUCAUAAAUUAAUAUUGAUCAUGUACAAAUUAAGUUCAAAAGUUAAGAUACAUAUUUUACGUUCUCAAACAGUAUGUAUUCAUUUUGCAUUAAAUGAGAAAGUCAAGUUAAACAAUUUGCAUUAGGUAAAUCACAGGUACACAAUUUACAUCAUGAGGAGGAUCUUCGGAUAGGUAUAUUACAUUUCACUCAAAUAUAUUGGGCAUGUUAAAUUUGGCUUUGUAAUGAGUUCUACAUUUCCCUUGUUUCUUUAAAGGAAUCUGCACCAACAACAAACCAACAACUAAAAAAAGAAGAAAACGAAAACAGAUCUGCAGCAGAUCAGGUGACAGAGUUUAUUGGAGGGCAUGGUAUAGUCUUCCUAAUGAACUCCUCCUUUUUGGGGAAUAAUAAGCCCAGAAAAAGGCCUUAUGAGCACUAACUAUUAUUCUCUCAAAACAAAGAUUUAGUAAUGUACCAAGAACAACCCCAAUAAAACAUAAUUAAUUACUUGUAUUCAAUUUGGAGGCAAACACUAACCACAGUUACACAAACAGAAGCAUCAAUUUCUUCCGGGUCUGAAUUUCCAGAUGGAUCAGCAUUGCUACAAUGAUCUGAUCCACAACUCUGGAUUGAAGUACUAUGAUUUUGAUGGGUCAUUAUCAUAUAUAGAGAGAAAAUCAAACAAUAGUACUCUACAUGUAAUUAGGAACACAUGAAAGAGCACAUCUGAGCUUGCUCUGCCAAGUGAAGAGUAAAUCUGAUGAGCCCUAAAUAUAGGACUUGGCAACGGAGAUCCCAAGGGGGCACAAUCAUAAAAAAGUGUAAAAUUUAUUAUGGGUUUUAAUUUAUAACUGCCAACAUCUUUUUGAUAGAAAGCUAUUAGCUGAGAUAUACGUUUUUUUGUCUUUAUGUUACGAGUGAGGCUCUUACACUUAAUUCUCUUUAUUAUGGGGGCGGGGCCGGGCCGGGCCUGCAGGCUGCACCUGGUCACGUUUAUUCUCUAUCAUCUCAUUUGUUUACGAAUAGCAUGUGCACCGAAAUAAAGAAAUGGUUUGGCUGGUGUGUGCCCAUGAGCACAUGCUAAACGCUAAAUUUGAUGUAUUAGCUUGUUUUGAUUGAUAGUAGGCACUCAAAAUGAGUUAAAUACAUGAAAUUUGGUGUUUAACAUGUGUAAUGGGCAUAUUUAAUGUAUAAAGUGAGUAUAGUAGAGUAAAUUAGUGGAUAUAGUAAUUUUCAUAUGGGUCUUUCUAGUAUGUGCCUACAUGGAGGAUUUUUAUUGGUGGAGAUUUUUGUGCAUGUAGUGGGGCGAUCAUUAUUUAUAAUGAGAUUAGAGCUAAUAGAAAUCAUUCACCAAAAUAAAAAGUAAAGUAGUUGUUACUUGUUAGUGUAUGCUCAUGGACAAAAUGACUAGCUAGUGACUAGUGUGUCCCCCAUGAGAUUAAACAUAAUUAUUAAUUAGUUAUUAAUAUAUUUCAAUUUUAACAAAUAUUAAGAUUAUUGUUCUGCUUAUGAGUUAUAUUGUAAAACAUAGUGUCGUGUGAUUUAUAAAAGUAAUUGUUCUAUCUUUUGAUUACAAUGUUUAUGUUGUUGAAUAUAAUCUCCAGGUUGUUGGAUGUGUACAAAUAUUGUAGAACAACAAAAAUUAAAAUUUAUAUGACUAGAUUAUAUUUUAACCAAUUUUGUACUCCAGUACUCUAAUAUGUUUGUGUUUGUGUAUUAUUGUACUCCAUAAAACUUGACUCAUAUAUAAAAAUGAUAAUAAUUUGAAUAUAAUAUGAAAGGGAAUAAACUAAAUUGAAUAAUAUAAUUAUAGAUAUGAGCCUUACAUAUAUUACCACUCGGGACACUCUACUGCAAGGACCAAAACUUUCAGUUGGCCUACUGAGUCAAAAUAGUUUUCAUUCAAAUAAUAAACCAUCUAAAAACUUUUAAUCACGAGAUUAAGUUAUAAAAAAAAAUCAGCGCCGUUAAGUCUUUGACAUUUAACGGAAAACGUUAAAUAUAACAGAUUUGCAAGUUUUUAACAAAUUAUAUGUUUUUAAGGCAGAGUUUACUGCGUAGAUGGCCAUCGGCCCUUCACCAGUUCCCGGUGUACUGCUAUUAUCAAUAUGACUCUAUUUGGUUUAAGAGCCAAAUGCUUCUGUUAAGUUUUUAACGGAAUGAUCUAUUUGAAAAUUUUUAAUAAUACAAUUAGUUGACUCAAAAUAUUUUUGACUCGAUAGGCCAACUGAAAGUUUUGGCUCAAUAGAGUGAUGAAAUAGAGUAUAUUACCACUAGAUUAUAAAGUAAUGUCCUAAUGUUCUGUAAUGUCAGAAAGGCCGACACAUAUCUAAAGUAAAAUGUGUCUCAAAACGGUGCUUAACACAUAUCUAAAACAAAAUAGCAUGUGUGUCACUCCACCUACUGUUAAGGUCGGAAUAUAUGAACCUAAAAUCUACAAAACUUAAAUUUAACAAGCUAACUUCUUUUAAAAUUGGCAAGAAUCUUACUCAUGAGAUACCUACCGUUCUUUUUUGAAGCUUAACAAGUUCACUAAAAUUCUUAGCUUACUCAUAAAAGGUAAGAUCUGGUCAUAUUUCUAACUUGAUUUUUUCUUUUUCCGGAAAGACAAAAAAGCAGGGAAUGAUAUCAAUGAAAUACUAGAAUGUCUAAUUAGGACUAAACAGAACGAGUUCUUACAUAGUGUAAUACUGAAUAGAUAGAUAGUAAUUCAAAUUUCAAAUAGUUUAUGCAGUCCAUCAAAUAAAAACAUAUGACUGAAUGAAUAUUGGGGAGAAAAAGAAAUUUAAGUAAGAAAGCGUAUUUGUUAAUUGUUGCAUUUUAUAAAUACUAUUUAUAACUUGUAGCUUAAUCUGACUGUAUGAAUAAACCUUGAUGCUUAAUUAUCUAACCACCCCAUUAGUAUUUGCAUCAUGUUUUAGUUGCAGGAGCUCCCGCAUGCACCUCCUCUAUGUUAUUAGAAGCAAAAACAUAUUCUUAAUGUCACUUUGAACGAUAAUGUUUAUAAGAUGAUGGGUUUGCCUAUACAGAAGUAAGAUGAAAAAAGUCAAGGAAAAGAAAAACUUCGAGAGGAAGGCUCGGAAUUAAUGAUCCUGAGGAAGAUGUAGACGUUGGAGUUCAUAGGAGAAAAAGAACGAGAAAGAAUAAAUUGCAACCUAACGUAUCUGGCCUAUAAGAGUACAUAAUCACAAACAAAAAUUUGUAGUUAGUAGAACAAAAGCAUUACAGAUUUAGCAGAAACAUAGACAUUUGUUUCUCAUUAAUUCAAAUAGCUGUUAAUUUUUAGAAGUUAAUCAAAUUUUAAAUUAUUAAUAGUGAUAUUAAACUGAGAAUAUAUGCACACUUAAGAGCCCUAAAAAAGCAUUAAAGAUAAAGCUUGGUGGUGGACCAACACUACAAGAAAAAUGCAUAAAAGCCACCACCUAAAUGCGGUGGCUUUUAGCUAAAAGCGACCGCAAGGGGUCGCUUUUCACUAAAAGCAACCGAAAAUAGGUGGUAGCUUCUAGGGGGUCGCUUUUCACUAAAAACGACCGAAAAUAGGUGGUAGCUUCUAAGGGAGUCGAUUUUUAAAAUAAUAAAUUUAUAACAUCCAAAUAUACAAUCAAAACUCAAAAUUGGGUCAAUUCGAGCUCUAGAAAACGGAUAACAAUAUCGUAUUCCGCUGAUCGGCUGAAAUAUAAACGAGGCCUUGUUGUGUUUGAUAAGCCCAAUAGUAUAAGGGCCCAAAGCCCCGUUGACCAAAAGACGUGAAUAAACAGAGAGCACGUGAAGGGAUAGUACUAGAAACCUCAGCCUGUAGAAAUCCAAUAAUCAUCAAACAAUAUAUCUCUGUACAAUCGUGAGGCAGAUUUUAGUGUGCCAGGUCCCCAAGAUAACUGCACGAUCACCACUUUACUGACAAUAGAGCAUCCACAGGGAAUGUUCGUUCCUUGCCGUCCAGCAUGGCUGCACAGAUAAAAGUCAAACUCAGUGGGAUAUGUAUGAUCAUACAACUGUCCCUCGCACUACAUUCCUUGGUGAGUUGCAGAGUACAUAUGCUUGUGACACUGAUUCCAGCACGCAACUGAUGCCUUUUCUUUAGUACAUUUUUGGAGCAUUUUCUUCAUUAUUUGCUGAAAUUAUGCCAUAUAUAUUUGAAUUCAGAGGAUGUCCACAAUAACAUCUGAAAUAAAACUUUAUAUUAAUCGAAAUAUAUAGUGCAGUCAAAGAUACUAUUGUUCCUAUGAUGCCAAACAUAAGAUAACUAGGCAUCCAAUUACCCGAGGAACUGGGUGCAAUUAAAUGAGUGAUAUAGAUUUUCAUAUAUAGCAUUAUUUAAGUGAAAUUUCACUAUUUAAGAAUAACAAAAUUAGUGUCGUAUUUCAGUAUGUUAAAAAGUAUUAGUGAGAUUAAUAGGUAAUUAAUUUUACUAAAUGUAAAUAUUAAUAAAAAAUUUCAAAUAUUAAAUCCUUACCAAUUUUUUUUUAAAUAUUGUACAAAUUUUACAUUCUUAAUUAACUAGUUAGAUUUUCUCUUACAAAAUUGUAGCAUUUUUAAAAUCACAUAGGAAUCUAGAAUCAUAUACGAACAAACGCCCCUAAUUAUCGUGAUCUAGGUAUCUGCUUGUAUCUAAAAUUUUAUAAUCACACAAAAUCCUUAUAAUUAAAAAGGGUAAAAAGUACAAACCAGAUCUGCUUGUAUCUAAAAUUUUAUAAUCACACAAGAUCCUUAUAAUUAAAAGUGGUAAAAAGUACAAACCAGAUCUGCUUGUAUCUGUUUGGGAUCUAAAAUUUUAUAAUCACACAAGAUCCUUAUAAUUAAAAGUAGUAAAAAGUACAAACCAGAUCUGUUUGUAUCUGUUUGGGAUCUGAUGGCGCAGGUGCUUGUUGGUAUGAAUUUACUUUGAGCAUCAUAAUAAACGCCCCUAAUUAUCGUGAUUUAGGUAUUUGCUUGUAUCUAAAAUUUUAUAAUCACAGAAAAUCCUUAUAAUUAAAAGUGUUAAAAGGUACAAACCAGAUCUGCUUGUAUCUAUUUGGGAUCUGAUGGCGCAGGUGCUUGUUGGUAUGAAUUUACUUUGAGCAUCACAACAAACGCCCCCUAAUUAUCGUGAUUUAGGUAUAUGCUUGUAUCUAAAAUUUUAUAAUCACAGAAAAUCCUUAUAAUUAAAAGUGGUAAAAAGUACAAACCAGAUCUGCUUGUAUCUGUUUGGGAUCUGAUGGCGCAGGUGCUUGUUUGUAUGAAAUUAUUUUGAGCAUCACAACAAACCCCCUAAUUAUCGUGAUCUAGGUAUGGAAGACAAGUCUUUUUCUUCUUUUUUGCGAUUCAAACAUAAAUAUAUUUAUGUGUGUGUGUGUGUAUAUAUAUUCACAAAUGAUAUAACAAAAAAAUCUAGUACAUAUACUAAAGAAUGUUGAUUUAAAUAAAUAAGCAACUCUUAUUAAGUUGGAAUUGCAAAGAAAAAUUUACUUCUUCGUAUUCAUUAUAUGGUGGCUGUAUGGAGAAAAUUGUGAAGGUUAUACCUCUCAUGUAAAACCUAUACUCUAUAUAUAGCACAUCAAUAUAUCUAGAAUGUUCCUCAAUUUGGGCUUUGGUCACAACUAGUGGGCCUGGAUUUGCCAUUUAAGGAUAUUCCAGAAAUUCAUAACAUUUUUAAUUUUGAACUAUUAUUUACUUUAAUUCAUUUUAUAAUAUUUUUUUAAGAUUUGAGGUUCUUCUCUCAUUUUGUGUAACAUUUUAGACUGACUUGGGCUUGAGAUAUUAUGGGCCUUCUUUUUUGGAUCUUAACUAGUUAAACAAGUAACUUGGAACUUUAACCUGUUAAAGAUAGUUUAAAUAAGUGAAAUGCUUUACUUUCAUUUUCCACUUCCAAUAAAUAUAUAAAAUUUAAAUAUAUACUUUUCUCCAUCUUUCAACUCACUAGCUACGACAUCCCCUCAUCCCCAUCCACUUAUCUACUCCAUCAUCAUCUUUCUUUUUCUCGAUUCAUCGAAACUGUUUCCUUCAUCCCGACGACCUCUCCAUGUAUAUUUUCUUCCCCCAUCUUCUUACAUCUCUCUCUUCGUCGAUAUGAUUCAAAUACAAAAUACUCAUACAUCUUAUAGUUUUAUCAUAUCUUCGGUAAAAUGGAUAUGGUAAUAUGAGAUGUGAGCCGCUCGGAUCCGUAAUAAAAGACUAUGGUAGUUAAAUCGUUUGUGGAAGAGAGAGAAACUACUGUGGUAGGUGAACUACGUGUGGAGGAGAUAAAAAUCGUUGUUGUAAUUAAGUCACUAGCGUAGGAGAGAGGUCAUGUCGUGGUAGUUGGAUAGGGGGAAGAAAUUAAGAGAAAGCACUUAAAGCGGAAGAAACUCCUGCAAAAUUUUAUGAUUUAUAUCAUAAAAGUUAGUGAUGUGCCUAAUACAUGUUACUGAUUUCUUUGGUGCAUAUUGGUGUUAUAGAUUAAAUUUGAUAAUUUAUCAAAAAUAAUAGAACAAAAUCAACUGAAUUUUUGAUCUAGAUGUUACUUGUGGAAAGAUGAGAUAAUAAUAGAGAUAUGAAGUGGUUCUCACUAUAAUUAUACAGAUAACAUUGAUAAUAUUGUAUAUAGCUAAUAUAUAAAUAUGUUAUAAGAAUCAAAAGGAUUUCAUUAGAGUAAGACUAUAUAUAUUAUAUAUAUAUAAUGUUUCUUGAAUGUGCAUAUAUUAUGUAAGCGCUUUACGAUUGUUAGAUUUCUUUGUUAGAUAUGCAAUAAUCAAUCCCGCCUUUCAUGGUAAAGACAUAAGUUAAUUAAAUCAACUUAUCUCUACGAGAAUGCUCACUAUUAACUAUAGAAAGAGCAAUGAUGAUGUUUUGGAUCCACUAAUCAUAUAGCUAACCAAAAGAAUUCUUUUAAACUGAGAAAAUCAGGUUAAAUAUAGUGAUAACUAUAAAGAUAUGAAGAGCUAUGGGCUUAACCUAUUGGUUAACAUCGUUUUGGUAUACACUUAAUUUUAUUGACUAGAAAUUCUAAAAACUUGAUUGAAUGAGCCAACUAAAUCAUGAUAUAUUCAUAUCACUAAUAAGUCUAUAAGAUAAAGACCAUCUAUGUGGAAGAGGAGCGGGACUUCUUCAAUGAAAAAUUAUAAUGAAAAUUCUUUAUAAACUCUAUAGCAUGUAUUAUGUUCCAUGGCUAUAUACACAUAUUCAUGAAAAGUACUGAAUGAGCUAGUAUAGAUAUAAUGAUGAAGAUCAUUUACCAAAUAGUCAAAGAAUUCAAGUACAUCACGUCUAUAUCUAUGUGUAAAGUUGGUAUAUAUACUUACUCUAUAAAAGGUUCAAGAAGCAUUUCUUAUCAAUCAUAUACUAUUUCUCGCCACCGGGACUAAUACCAAGUCAAAGCCAUUGGAGCAUCAAUCUCGUUUGUGAGGGAUUUGUGAAAUUGUUUAGUGUGUGUGUAUAUAUAUAUAUAUAUAUAUAUAUAUAUAUAUAUAUAUAUAUAUAUAAUACUAAUGUUCCGAUGUUGACCGUUAGUAGUACUUAAUUAUCUUACAACUUCAGUCUCUUUUUUUAAAUAGAGUCUUAUAUAUGUGUGUGUGUAUAUAUAUAUAUAUAUAUAUAUAUAUAUUAUCUUACAACUUCAGUCUCUUUUUUUAAAUAGAGUCUUGGCUCAUUAAUUUUAUUAAGUCCAAAAAUUUAUAUAUAGUCAACUCUGUUAUUUGAUCUCCUUAGUUUAAAUCCUUCAUACAUCUCGUUGCUAAUUAGUUAUAGUAAGAAGUUAUAGUAAAACCAUGUCAGGGAGAGCAAUCACGGUUUCUAAAAUCAUUGCACACCCAUCCAUACCGUAUGUAUGAUAUUAUAAUAAAAAACCGGGAUUGUGGUGAGAAAAAUUACAAAAACUAGUAACUAAAAUAGGGUAACAACCAAAAUACCAGUGGCGGACUCACGUGUACGCACUGGGGGGCUGGCCCCCCAGUCACUUGCCAGCCACAGCUUAUAUAUUUUAUAGAGUUACAUGCGUGCCCCCAUUAAAAACUGUAUAGGCCCCCAGUAAUUAAAAGUGAAAGCCUGAUUUGUGUUCAACUUAAACAAGCCCAAACCCAAAUAUUAGUCCGGUCCAGAAGUAAAUUCAAAGUAACAGAGCAAGCCAGCAACGUAGGUAAAAAACACAAUCACCUAAUUCGAAGAAUCACAGAGCUACGGAGGGUGAAAAGUAAAAAGGAGAGAAUUAAAAGAAAACUACCUUGAAGCUACUGAUUAAUUCGGGUCAUCGGCUUCUAAUAUUCGGUAAGUUCUUUUUCAAUAAAUAUAUAUUCUCUUUUUAUGUAUAUAUAGUGUCUGUAUGCGUGUAAAAUUUGAUUAGUGUUUUUUAUUAUUUUUUAAAUUUUAGUGAAUAUUUAUGUGUGUCUAGUUUUUUUGUGUGAAAUUCUGAGUAUAUUCACUCAAUUAUUUGACAAAUAACAGAUAUUAUGGAAAGAUAUUUCAAAAGAAAGUUGCCCGAAAUCAUAGAUGACACUAAUAAUUUGAGGGAAGAAGCCAUAAGAGCAAAUGUUAAUAUUGUUGAGCCAAGUCCUGUAAUGCCUAAAAAAAUUGACUUGAAAGACCUUCCGUGGGAUCCCUCUGAAAGAAAAAGAAUUAUAGAAUAUCAUCCGGAUCAAAGAGAUGAAAUAAGGAGAGCAUAUUUGAUUAAAGGACCUUGUCAACCACUUGGGCAUGAAUUUCCAAAAACGAAAAUUGGAAAUAAAGAUAGGCGUUUUAAUCCCGAGUGGUAUGAAAAUGAAAAAUAUAAGAAUUGGUUGGAGUAUAGUGUAAAAGCCGAUAAAGCUUAUUGUUUGUGUUGUUACUUAUUCAGAGACCAUUUUGGAAGACAGGGUGGGAGUGAUGCAUUUGUAGUAGAUGGAUUUUGUGGUUGGAAUAAAACGGAGAGACUUGGAAGUCAUAUCGGGGAAGUUAAUAGUUUUCAUAACAGAGCCUUUAAAAAAUGUGAUGAUCUUCUAACACAAAAACAGUCCAUUGCCGUUGCUUUUCAUAAGCAAAGUGAUAUUGUCAAGAAUGAACAUCGAAUUCGUUUGAAUGCUUCCAUUGAUGUUUCCAGAUUUUUGCUAAAUAGCGCAUUACCUUUUCGUGGUCAUGAUGAGUCUGAAAAGUCACUACAUAGAGGAAAUUUCUUGGAAAUGAUAAAAUAUACUCAAGAUCAAAAUGAGAGAGUUCGUAAAGUUACACUGAAAAAUGCUCCCGGGAAUAAUCAAAUGGUGUCUCCGAAAAUUCAAAAAGAUAUUUGUCAUUGUUUUGCACAAGAGAUUCUCAAAUCCAUUAUGAAAGAAAUUGGUGAUGAUGUGUUUGCUUUGUUAGUUGAUGAGUCUAGUGAUAUUUCUAGAAAGGAACAAAUGGCUGUGGUUUUACGAUAUGUUGAUGACACGUUAGGAAUUGUGAAGGAGAGAUUUGUGGGUCUUGUUCAUGUGAAAGAGACAUCUUCUUUAACUCUUAAAUCUGCUAUUGAUAGUUUAUUUGCUGAGUUUGGUUUGAGCUUAAGACAGGUGAGAGGGCAGGGUUAUGAUGGUGCAAGUAACAUGCGUGGUCAGUUUAAUGGGUUGAAAACAUUAAUCAUGAGAGAAAACAGCUCGGCAUAUUAUGUACAUUGUUUUGCUCACCAGCUUCAGUUGGUUGUUGUGGCGGUUGCGAAAAAACAUUUUGCUGUUGGUGACUUUUUUGAUAUGAUAGCGGUCUUGAUGAAUGUGGUUGGUGGUUCUUGCAAAAGGACUGAUAUGCUUCGAGAUAGUCAAAAAGAGAGGUUGUUAAAGGAGAUGGGUCGUGGUGAACUUGAAACAGGAAGUGGGUUGAAUCAAGAACUUUCCCUUGCCAGAGCCGGAGAUACACGUUGGAGUUCACAUUAUAAAACACUUCUGCGUUUGGUUGAUUUGUAUCCAAGUGUGAUUGAGGUGCUUAAAUAUAUUGAAAAAGAGGGAGAAAAAGAUGUGCAACAACGUCAAGCAAGUGGUCUUCAAAUAUAUUUCACAUCAUUUGAGUUUGUAUUCUAUUUGCAUUUGAUGUUGUAUAUUUUGGGGCUCACAGAUAUAUUAUCACAGGCAUUGCAAAGAAAAGAUCAAGAUAUAUUGAAUGCUAUAUCAUUAGUGGAGUCAACUAAGCGACAAUUACAAAAUUUCAGAGUUGAUGGGUGGGAUUCUCAUUUGAAGAAGGUAUUUUAUUUUUGUGAGAAGUAUGACAUUGAAAAGUUGGAUAUGACCGAGCCUUAUGUUAAUCCAAAAAAUCGACGGAGAAAAACUGGAAUCACCAAUGAGCAUUAUUAUUCUUUUGAUUGUUUCAAUGUUGUUGUGGAUAUGCAAAUUGCAGAGUUUAACGACCGUUUUAAUGAGGUAAACUCUGAAUUGCUCAUUUGUAUGGCUUCUUUGAAUCCACGUGAUUCAUUUGGUGAUUUUGAUCCAUUGAAGUUGAUGAAGUUAACUGAGUUUUAUCCAAAUGAUUUUAGUCCUACUGACACGAUUGCUCUUGAGCAUGAAUUGAUGAUUUAUAUUGAUAAUGUGAAAGCAGAUGGAAGAUUUUCCAACUUGAAUGGUAUUAGUGAUCUUGCUAGAGUAAUGGUUGAAACGAAAAAAAAUCAUUGUUAUUCUUUGGUGUAUCGGCUAGUGAAGCUAUCAUUGGUUUUGCCAGUUGCAACCGCGACAGUUGAGAGAUGUUUCUCUUCAAUGAAGCUUGUGAAGUCAGAUUUGCGCAAUCGAAUUGGUGAUGAAUUUCUAAACGAUUGUCUUAUUUCAGCCAUAGAAAAGGAAGCUCUUGCUAGAGUAACAAAUGAAGAUGUAAUAGAUCGAUUUCAAAAAAUGAAAACUCGAAGGGAGCAAAUUUAAAUUGUAAGUUAUUUCUCUUUUUCUUUAUAGUAUUACACAUAUUUUAUUAGUUCUCUUAUUAUUUAAAUAUUGUGCCCCCACUGAACUUUAAUCCUGGGUCCGCCCCUGCAAAAUACUAGAAUUCCCCUUAUAAUAAUCUUAAGAAUCACUUAAUUACUCAUAACACAUGAAGCAGUCGAAUACUAUUCCAGAGGUAUAUAACUAAAGUUCUCUUUCAAGCUCAAUAGUCUAUUAACUAAAAUUUUUAGCUUACUCUUCUAAGGUGGGGAUCAUGAUCAUUUUUAUGAAUUGAUAUAGAAAGGCUGAAAUAAAAUUUCAAUAAUCACGUAGACUAAAAAAGAAGAAUGAUAUUAAUGAAAUAAUAGACUAUCUAUCUUAUUAGGAAUAAAUGAAACAAGUAUUUGAAAAAAAUACAUAAUGUUACAUUAAAUAGAUAAAAUAAUGAUUCAGAUUUUAAAUAGUUUAUGAAAUCCACCAAAUGAAAACGUACAAGUUAAUUGUUGCAUUAUAUAAAUACAAUCUACUUGCAGCUUAAUGUGAUAGUAUGAGUAAAACUUGUAACUUACACUAAUUAAAUUAUUAAUUGUUGUAUCAUGUUUUUUUUGAAAGUGAAUUGUUGUAUCAUGUUGAAACUUAAUGAUUUGUUAAAAAUUAUUAAUAUGUUAAAUUAUUAAUGUUAAAAAUGAUUUAUUAAAUUUUUUUGAAGAUAAAUUGACACAAAAAAUAAACGGUUCAUUAUGGCAUUACGUGAAAAUCAUUGAUCAUAUAUGUGUGUAUGUUGUGUAUAUAUGUAUGUCUAUACUUAUAUGUGAGAGAUAUGUUAUAUAUUAAAUAGUAAUUUGUGAUGUAUAAAAUAGUUAGUGAUUAAAAAUUGGUGAGGGACUGAUUUUUAUUUUGUAGGUUAGUUUGUAUAGGCCGCAGCCUCGGUGGCCACAGUGGUGGGCCAUGGCACCAAAAGGGUCGGGGCUGACAGUAUAUGUGGGUUGGUUUGGUGGGAGUGGAUGUGGAUAAGUGACAGUAUAUGAGUGUAGGUGAGGAAGUGGCUGGUUAUGAAAGAAAUUUUUGGUUUUUAUUCAAUUUUAUUUUUAUUAUAUAUAUAUAUAUAUAUAUAUAUAAAAUAUUUGAUAUAUUUUUUCAAAAUACAUAUUUAUAAUUUUAACAUAUAAUUAGAUUUAAAAUUUUCAAACAUGUGAUGCCAUAAUUUAUUUUAGAAAAAUCUAUUUUCCUUCAUCUUACAUUUUAAAGAAAAGUUAUUUUGCUUGCUAACUAGAUAAAAUUUGUAUUUAUAUAUAAUAAUACGUUAUUUUCUUAUUGGCAUGUGUAAAUAAUUUUAGUAAGUGUAAAUAAAUGUUUCCUUAUUAAAAAAAACCCUACACUAAGAAGUAUGAGAGCACAAAUUAUAAUAAAGGAAUUAUUUUAUAUUUUUUUGAUCUUUGAAAAUACAAUAAAUUAUUCAAAUAAAAUAAUUAUACAAGCAAACUGAUUAAAUGAGGGUAAUUGUCAAGAAAUUAUUGAUUAAGAUAAAUGAUAAUGUAUAGAGUUCAAGAAGUAUUUGUUGAAUGUGGAUAUAUUAUAUUGAUCAAUUUGAUAAAAUAUACUAUUCCCCACAUUUUGUUAAAUAUAAUAUAAUUUUGGCUAUAAAAUAAAAGAAGUGUGUGGGUGAUUCUAGAUUAUUCUUAGUACAUGCAUUUGUUUUUAAUUUUGAAUGCAUGUAUUAGUCCAGAUGCAUAAUCUCUAGAAUAUUCCCGUCUUUUGCUUUCUAGCAUUUAAUUAGUCUCUAGAUCUUUCUAUUGAGUCCUAUAUAAAGCCUCUUGUACCAAAUCAUUUGUCAUCAACUAAGGUAAAGCAAUUCAUUAUAUAUAAAUUUCUCUUUUCCUAAAUAUCUGAGUUGUGGGAGUUUUAGUGAAAACCUUUCUUCCUCCAUCCAACACAUUUUUAGCCCACAUCCCCGUUCUAAGUCUAUUCUAGUUUUGUCCUUCUCCUUAGAUUUCCUAGAUUAAAUUUAAUUAGCAAUGGUGAUCUAUGUAUGCCUAUGUGUUUAAUUCCCUUGAUAAAAGAUGGUGCCAUGUAAGUUCAAGAGUUCUAAUUUAAUUGUGAGGAUAAUAUUAUCUAACCAUUUUGAUUUGAUGGGUAAUCGUUAUUUAAUCUUCUUUUACUUAUAAAUUAUAGGGUUUUGGCAUUCGAGAUUGUUCUUGGUACAUCUGUAAAAGCCCCAGAAGGAAGCCUGUUACACCGGCAGGCGAAGCUGGUACACUUGGGGGGAAAAAUUGAUGGAUUAUUGUUGACUAAUUGAUGUUUGAUGGAUUAUUCUAUUAUUGAGCUAGGCUCCUUGCCGAGUACUUUGGGAAAAAGGUAAUGCUGGCACUUGUUUGCCAGACUUUUGACGGGGUUAAAGCUCUGGAGGCAUAUGAUGAAGGUGGUGUUAUAAAUAGAAAUUCUGGUCUUCAUGGAAUUGUAUCCUGGGUCACGAACUCUGGCCAUGGCCUUAGAGAGACUCUCUUCUAUCAUCUAUUCUCGCUCCUGCAAGUUUAUAGAACUAUGAAAAAUAUGUAUAAGGCCCUCCCAUUCAUAAGAGAUGGAGCUGUAUCUUUUGGAUGGUGGAAUAAUGAGAUCAAAAUUUCCUCUUAGCAGCAUAGCCAUUGUGACAACUUUAAUUGUACAUUCACAUUUCUUCUGUUGCAACCGUACAAUUUCUUGGAACAAGUUUAUAUGAUUAGCAAAGAAUUCUUUAAUAGAAGUUAUUAUUUGUUAGUAGGAUAUAUAUUACUCAUAUUACUCAUAUAAUAAAUAUGCAAAUAAGGCACUCGGAUAUGAAAGUAUUAAUUCAAUAACAAAAUUAAAACGUCAAACUAAAAUUAAAAGAAUAAAAGAGAAGGAAAAUUCUUGUGAAACAAACACCAACGAAUGAGUUUGAUUCUUUUCUUUCCUUUGUCGGUUAUGGGCAAUGUUUUAGUAAAUUGCAUUUGAUAUACAAAUAGCAUAAAACAAAAUUUUGUGCUAAUUUUUUUUUAUUUUAGACCACUAUUAAAUCUAUCAACAAUAAACAGCCACCAUAUCUGUAUGUAUUUUGUUUCUAAUAUAUAGUAUUAAAAAAUGUAAAUUGGAAUCUUAUAGAAGCUAACAAUAAAAAAAAAAAUUUGGUUUCACGAUCAAAAUAAUAUAAGUUAAAUAAUUCAAGAUCAUUCAUUAACUUUCUCCUAAUUUUAAUUUGUGAAUUUUAUUUGAUUUUCAAGCAUAAACAAACCAUCCCUACAUAUAAUAAUCAUUAUAAAUUUACUAAUUCUAAUAAAUUUUUGAAUGAUAAGUUUGUAAAUUAUUUUGUUAUACUAAUCGAGACUUGAACUAUUAUAUUAAUACUAAAAAGCUUUAGAGAAGACAAAUUGACUCAAAAAUAAUAUAUUAAUUUGUGAAAUUUUUUCUCACUAUAAAAUUUGUUCAUAUUAAUAAGUAAUAAUGUGCUUCCUACAUAUUUAUUAGCUAAUUAAUAAUUUAAUUAUAAUAAGAUGAAAUAUAUUUUACUCGAAUAAAAGAUCAUUUUGUGUUCUCUUAAAAAAGAUUGUGUCCAAAAUUUUAUUUAUUCAAAUUAUUAUAAAUAUGAUAAAUUUGAUUAAUUGUUAUACACAUUUAUCAAUAAAAUUUAUUUUAAUGUUGUGUUUAUCAUAAAUUAAUAUUGAUCAUGUACAAAUUAAGUUCAAAAGUUAAGAUACAUAUUUUACGUUCUCCAACAAUAAGUAUUCAUUUUGCAUUAAAUGAGAAAGUCAAGUUAAACAAUUUGCAUUAGGUAAAUCACAAUUUACAUCAGGAGGAUCUUCGGAUAGGUAUAUUACAUUUCACUCAAAUAUAUUGGGCAUGUUAAAUUUGGCUUUGUAAUGAGUUCUACAUUUCCCUAUUUCUUUAAACGAAUCUGCACCAACAACAAACCAACAACAGAACAGAGAAGAAAAGGAAACCAGAUCUGCAGCAGAUCAGGUGACAGAGUUUGGAGGGCAUGGUAUAGUCUUCCUAAUGAACUCCUCCUUUUUGGGGAAUCAUAAGCCUAAAAAAAGGCCUUAUGAGCACUAACAUUUUUUCCCUCAAAACAAAGAUUUAGUAAUGUACCAAGAACAACCCCAAUAAUACCUGUCAGACAAACAAUUAAUUAGAAGCCAUUAGGAUUUUAAAAACAUAAUUAAUUACUUGUAUUCAAUUUGGAGGCAAACACUAACCACAGUUACACAAACGACACAAGCAUCAAUUUCUUCCGGGUCUGAAUUUCCAGAUGGAUCAGCAUUGCUACAAUGAUCUGAUCCACAACUCUGGAUUAAAGUACUAUGAUUUUGAUGGGUCAUCAGUAUCAUAUACAGAGAGAAAAUCAGAAAAUAGUACUCUACAUGUUAGGAACACAUGAAAGAGCACAUCUGAGCUUGCUCUGCCAAGUGAAGAGUUAAUAUGAUGAGCCCUAAAUAUAGGACUUGGCAACGGAGAUCCCAAGGGGGCCAAUCAUAAAAAAGUGAAAUUUAUUAUCGGUUUUAAUUUAUAACUGCCAACUUCUUUUUGAUAGAAAACUAUUAGCUGAGAUAUACAUUCUUUUUGUCUUUAUGUUAAGAGUGAGGCUCUUACAUUUAAUUCUCUUUAUUAUGGGGGCCGGGCCUAGAGGCUGCACCUAGUCACGUUUAUUCUCUAUCACUCUCUCAUUUUUUUUCGAAUAGCAUGUGCACCUAAAUAAAGAUAUGGUUUGGCUGGUGUGUGCCCAUGAGCACAUGCUAAACUCUAAAUUUGAUGUAUUAGCUUGUUUUAAUUGAUAGAGCUUUUGUAUAUGCAAGGGGUCCACCAUUAUUAAUAAGUAGUACUAGGCACUCAAAAUGAGUUAAAUACAUGAAAUUUGGUGUUUAACAUGUGUCAUGGGCAUAUUAAUUUAAUGUAUAAAAUGAGUAUAGUAGAGUAAAUUAGUGGAUAUAGUAAUUUUCAUAUGGGUCUUUCUAGUAUGUGCCUACAUGGAGGAUUUUUAUUGGUGGGGAUUUUUGUGCAUGUAGUGGGGCGAUCAUUAUUUAUAAUGAGAUUAGAGCUAAUAGAAAUCAUUCACCAAAAUAAAAAGUAAAGUAGUUGUUAGUGUAUGCUCAUGGACAAAAUGAUGAUGACUAGCUAGUGACUAGUGUGUCCCCCAUGAGAUUAAACAUAAUUAUCAAUUAGUUAUUAAUAUAUUUCAAUUUUUAAGAUUAUUGUUCUGAUGAGUUAUAAUGGAGACCAUAUUGUCCUAUGAUUUAUAAAAGUAAUUGUUCUAUCUUUUGAUUACAAUGUUUAUGUUGUUGAAUAUAAUCUGCAGGUUGUUGAAUGUGUACAAAUAUUCUAGAAUAACAAAAACUAAAAUUUAAAUGACUAUAUUAUAUUUUAACCAAUUUUGUACUCCACUACUCUAAUAUGUUUGUGUACUCCAUAAAACUUGACUCAUAUAUAAUUAAUGAUAAUAAUUUGAAUAUAAUAUGAAAGGGAAUAGACUAAAUUGAAUAAUAUAAUUAUAGAUAUGAGCCUUACAUAUAUUACCACUAGGGUCAUUCUACUGACCAAAACUUUCAAUUGGCCUCCCGAGUCAAAAAAGUUUUCAUUUAAAUAAUAAACCAUCUAAAAACUUUUAAUCACGAAAUUAAGUUAUAAAAAAAAAUCAGCGCCGUUAAGUCUUUGACUUUUAACGGAAAACCUUAAAUAUAACGGAUUUGCAUGUUUUUAACAGAUUAUAUGUUUUUAAGGCAGAGUUUACUUCGGCCCUUCACCAGUUCCCCGUGUACUGCUAUUAUCAAUGCUGCUAGAUACAGUAAAGACAAGUCUGCAAGUUUUGGAAGGAGAGGGGCGACCUACAAUUGGACAAACUGUAAAGAAUUAGCUGGUGAAGGAAGGCGGAUUGGGUGCUUGUUAUAGAUGUUUGGGGCCGAGGUGGGCUUCGAUGCCUCUUUCCGCAACCACCAUGCAUGAUCACUACUUGUNUUCACUACUUAUGAGUUUCUAAAGAAAAUGUCUACGAAGGAUCAAGAGGUGUUUGCUUAACUAAAUUUUGGCGGAGAAGAUACGAAAGGGAAAAAAUUUAGAAUGUUGCAAAUCAUCUACACACUUGUAUAACUUGGUUUCUUGUCAUGUGUUGAUGACCUUCCUCUAUGAAUACCGAUGUAAGUUGUACUUAAGGUUUACUUUUAAUGAAUAAGAAUAACAUGAAAAUCAAAUUACAAUAUUGUCCAACAUUGUACAAGUAGUUCAGCCUUGGUCAGGCUGUUUGUUGUAUAUGAAUGAUAUAUAUACAUUGUUGAAGUGUGUAAAUGUGUAGGUUCUAGGGGACAUCUACUACCUGGUAUAUACAAGAGUCGGAUUCAGGGUACAAAUGUUGAGUAAUAUGACUCUAUUUGGUUUAAGAGGCAAAUGCUCCUGUUAAGUUUUUAACGGAAUGACCUAUUUGAAAAUUUUUAAUAAUACAAUUAGUUGACUCAAAAAAAUUUUGACUCGGUAGGUCAGGCUCAGUAGAGUGAUGAAAUAGAGCAUUAACCCUAUUACCACUAGACUAUAAAGUAAUGUCCUAAUGUUCUGUAAUGUCAGAAAGGCUGACACAUAUCUAAAGUAAAAUGUGUCUCAAAAUUAUGGUGCUUAACAUAUAUCUAAAACAAAAUAGCAUGUGUGUCACUCCACCUACCCUUAAGGUCGGAAUAUAUGAACCUAAAAUUUACAAAACUUAAAUUUAACAAGCUAACUUCUUUUAAAAUUGGCAAGAAUCUUACUCAUGAGAUACCUACUGUCUUUUUGAAGCUUAACAAGUUAACUAAAAUUCUUAGCUUACUCAUAAAAGGUAAGAUCUGGUCAUAUUUCUAACUUGAUUUUCUUUUUCCGGAAAGACAAAAAAGAAGGGAAUGAUAUCUAUGAAAUACUAGAAUGUCUAAUUAGGACUAAAGAGAACGAGUUCUUACAUAGUGCAAUACUGAAUAGAUAGAUAGUAAUUCAAAUUUCAAAUAGUUCAUGCAGUCCAUCAAAUAAAAACAUAGGAGUGAAUGAAUAUUGGGGAGAAAAAGAAAUUUAAGUUAGAAAGCGUAUUUGUUAAUUGUUGCAUUUUAUAAAUACUAUUUAUAACUUGUAGCUUAAUCUGACUGUAUGAAUAAACCUUGAUGCUUAACUUAAUCUAACCACCCCAUUAGUAUUUGCAUCAUGUUUUAGUUGCAGGAGCUCCCGCAUGCACCUCCUCUAUGUUAUUAGAAACAAAAACAUUUUCUUAAUGUCACUUUGAACGAUAAUGUUUAUAAGAUGAUGGGUUUGCCUACACAGAAGUAAGAUGAAAAAAGUCAAGGAAAAGAAAAAGUUCGAGAGGAAGGCUCGGAAGUAUCCUGAGGAAGAUGUAGACGUUGGAGUUCAUAGUAGAAAAAGAACGAGAAAGAAUAAUUUGCAACCUAACGUAUCUCGCCGAUAAGAGUACAUAAUCACGAACAAAAAAUUGUAGUUAGUAGAACAAAAGCAUUACAAAUUCAGCAGAAACAUAGACAUUUAUUUCUCAUUAAUUCAAAUAGCUGUUAAUUUUUAGAAGUUAAUCUAAUUUUAAAUUAUUGAUACUGAUAUUAAACUGAGAAUAUAUGUACACUUGAGAGCCCUAAAAAGCAUUAAAGAUGAAGCUUCGUGGUGGACCAACAACUCGUUCACGAUCCAAUACUGUAAGUAACUGCCUGCGAGAAGGAAGAAACAAACUCAAUUCUCGUUUAGACCCCUGCACCAGUGAAGUUGCUACAGAGUGAAUGACUAUGAUCAAUGGCUGCUUAAUUAUUUGACCAUGCCGUCAAAAAAAAUUAGAUGCUCAGAAGAAAGCUAUAUAUAACUGCUGGUCCAAGUAAAACUGCAAAUGAGCCGGCUGAUGGAGAGAAUGACUUGCCUAAUUGGAGAUGCAGUUGAAAAGAUUAGGCCAUGUUGACUUGUAGAAAGGUUUUCCAAUUUAAGUGUUCAAAUUGCCUUGGUUUUCUAUUUCGUAAAUGUAGAGAUAGAAUGGUAUACAUAUUCAAAUUGGUUAGAUUUCCGUGUAUGGCUGAGCUUUAUAACCUGAUUUUAUGAUUUAAAGUGAUAGGUUAGCGAUGUAAAGUGUGGGUUUGGAUAAUUUUGACUUUGACUUGUGAGUUAUUAAUAAUAUGAUAAUAAAAAUAAGAAUGAUUUACGGAUAACUUAUAUCUUUUUUAUCAAAAAUUUUUUUAACAAUUAACUCGCCUUAAAAUGUACCUCAAACUAAUUAUACCAAGUCCUUAGCUAAUUUCAUUGUUAAAAUCAAGUAGGAUAAGUUAUGUAUUUGAAUUAUGAUAUUAAUUUUUAUUGUAUAAACUCAUAUAAAUAAAAUAAGUUGUUAGAAAUAUCUCUUAUCAACGCUAAGGGGGCCUUUCAGAAUUAAAACCCAUGCCUUUUCCCAAAUCCAAACUAACUCCUGCUCUACCUACUUUUUGACAUCGGUCGGCCAGUUCGCCACCACCAAGGUAGAUAAGGUCAGGGAAUAUGCACAUGUUAAUUACUGUUAAUUUUAUGAAUAGUUUCACGUUCUUUUAGAAUUAAAUUGGUAUAUAUAGCAUAAUUAAGGGUAUCAAUGUCAGUUAGAUGAUCAGAAGCAUGUUUUGAUUGAAUUUUUUAAUCUUUUUAGUACUAAAUUUGAAUAAAUUAAAUAUAACUUCUGUCCAUAUAAGGCAUAUUGAUGUUACAUGUGCUUUUUUUUCCAGGGUUUCCAAGCACUCCGGAGCGCAUGCACAUAAUAACAGCUUAUUUUUUAUGAUAUUCAAGAUUAUUAAUGUUAAAAUAAUAUUUUAUUUUGUAAAUAAGUGAAUAAUUAUAUUUUAAUUUUUUUUAGCAUUUUCUAAUAAUAAUUAUAUAGAUAUGCGAAUAUUUUUAUAUAUAAUAAAUACAGAUAUUUUUUAGUCAAUUAUGACGAUGAGAAAGGACAAAACAGUAAACUUAUACUAAGUAGGAUAAGCCAUCUCGAAAAAUAUACACCAGAUAAUUUAUAUUUAUAAAUCAUCAUGUGUUAUUUUUAUUAUUUGUAUUAAAUAAUUUCAAUAAGUGUAAGGAAAUGUUUCCUAACUAAAAACCUCUUUAUUAAAAAAAUAUGAGAGCACAAAUUAUUUAAAAGAACAAUUUUUUUAUAUUUUUCAUCAUCUUUGAGAAUAUGAAAAAUUAGUUAAAUAAAAUAAUUAUAUAAAUGAAGUAAUUAAAUGACGGUAAUUGUUAGGGAUUUUUGUUCAAAAAUGAUAAUGUAUAAGGAGCUCAAGAAGUAAUUUUUGAAUAUAUGUUUGUUAUAUUAAUCAAUUCCAUAAAAUAUAAUUCUUCUAGAUUUCUACUUGCCAUUCUCCCCUUGGUUUCUCCGCCUCCUUGUCCUUGGUUUCUCCGCCUCCCUAUCUUUCCUUGUUUUUAACGUCUUCCCUUGUUUUGUCCGCCUCCUUAUAUUUCCUCAGUUUCUUCGCCUCCCCUUGGUUUCUCUCCUGUAUAUAAACUUUCACACUCAGACACACACACUUAUAAUCAUAAGAAGAAUGUGCAUGAGCACUAAAGCGUGCCUGUAAAUAGGUUAGCAUUGAAAUGAUUUGGCGAUUAAAUUUUAACAAUGGAGACCGAUGUAUGCAUAUGUGUUUCCCUUGAUAUAAGUUGGUGCCAUGUAAGUAGAAUAGUUCUGAUUUAAUUAUUACGUGGAUGUUAUUUCACCAUUUUGAUUUGAUGGGUAUUCUUUAUUUAAUCUUCUACUCAAAAUUUUUAGGGUAUUCGAGGUUGUUCUUGGUACAUUACUACAAGGCAAAUGAAGCCCCUUACCCCAGCAGGCCAACCUGGUACACUUGUGGGGAGUACUAGGCCCUGAAGGCAAAGGGGUAGCCUGUGGCUGAAGAAGAGCCAGGCAUUGAUGUGGACACAUCUCAAGGUGUCCUCAGACCUGGAGAGAGAGCCAUUCCAGACACACAACCUCGGCCAGGACAUCACCUCUCUGCUUAUGCUAGAGCAGGAAGGUAGCAUAUUGAUAUUUGUUAAUAUUCUUCUUUGCCAUAUGAUCAGCUUCCAUUUUUAAGUAGUAAUAUAAUCAUUGGUGUUGUAUAGCAGGAACCUAUACACAAGAUCUUAAUUGUCCAAUAGAAUAUUUGUCCAGCGCAUUGCUAGGUUAAUUGAUGGGGUCUUUAGAUUUCUUGUUGGUCGAAUUACAGUUUUCAUAUGCUUUAAACCAUGAACUAUCAGUUUAAAAUGAAUUUUAGUUCUUUUAUUAUUAUUAUUAAAUUUGUGGUUUUGGUUGUGUGUGUGUGUUAUAUAUAUAUAUAUAUAUAUAUAUAUAUAUAUAUAUAUGUGUGUGUGUGUGUGUGUGUGUGUUGAUUUUUUUAUGUAUUACAUACCUCCACAUAAUAAAAGUACAAAUAUGAAUUAAUUAUUUGAUUUGUGAUCCAUAAUUGAGUGGCUAAUAUUAUGUCUCAAUGGAUUAUUACAGGUGAUGUGAAGAUAUAUGGGUUCGUGGAAGAACCUUUGGAUGAUGAUAUAUAGGACGAGAGGAGGUGUCUGAUGCGGUGGUAGAGUAACAAACCAAAAAGGACAAUGCAAACGCAAAAAAUUUAUUACUUGUUCUAAAAUUAAAAACAAUUUAGUGACAUGUAAUUUUGUAUCCAUCAAAUAGAUGUUUUUAUUAUUAAAAUAGGUCUUAUCUAUGACUUUAUCUGUAAAUUGCAUCUAAUGAGUCUAUCAACGGUGAACAUGCAUCUCUAAUGAUGGAAUGAAUCGUCAAAACAUUACAAAUUUAAUAUCUAAACAUUUUAAAUAUCUUUACCCUUUAAAGACCCAGUCUUAGUUUUGUGUGCAUUUUUUUUUUACAUAGUAAAUGAAUAUGAAUACAUUCUGCUUAUAAGCUGUUUCUUUGUAAAUGAUUUUCUACAUGAAAAAAUAAUGUUUCAUGAAUGUGCAUAUAUUAUGUAAGCGCUUUACGAUUGUUAGAUUUCUUUGUUAGAUCUGCAAUAAUGAAUCCCGCCUUUUAUGGUAAAGACAUAAGUUAAUUAAAUCAACUUCUACGAGAAUGCUCACUAUUAACUAUAGAAAGAGCAAUGAUGAUGUUUUGGAUCCACUAAUCAUAUAGCUAACCAAAAGAAUUUUUUUAAACUGAGAAAAUCAGGUUAAAUAUAGUGAUAACUAUAAAGAUAUGAAGAGCUAUAGGCUUAACCUAUUGGUUAACAUCGUUUUGGUAUACACUUAAUUUUAUUGACUAGAAAUUCUAAAAACUUGAUUGAAUGGGCCAACUAAAUCAUGAUAUAUUCAUAUCACUAAUAAGUCUAUAAGAUAAAGUCAAUGAAAAAUUAUAAUGACAAUUCUUUAUAAACUCUAUAGCAUGUAUUAUGGUCCAUGACUAUAUACACAUAUUCAUGAAAAGUACUGAAUGAGCGAGUAUAGAUAUAAUGAUGAAGAUCAUUUACCAAAUAGUCAAAGAAUUCAAGUACAUCACGUCUAUAUCUAUGUGUAAAGUUGGUAUAUAUACUUACUCCAUCAAAGGUUCAAGAAGCAUUUCUUAUCAAUCAUAUACUAUUUCUGGCCACUGGGACUAAUACCAAGUCAAAGCUAUUGGAGCAUCAAUCUCGUUUGUGAGGGAUUUGUGAAAUUUUUUAGUGUAUAUAUAUAUAUAUAAUACUAAUGUUCCGAUGUUGACCGUUGGUAGCACUUAAUUAUCUUACAACUUCAGUCUCUUUUUUUAAAUAGAGUCUUGGGCCAUUAAUUUUAUUAAGUCGAAAACUUUAUAUAUAGUCAACUCUUUUAUUUGAUCUCCUUAGUUUAAAUCCUUCAUACAUCUCGUUGCUAAUUCAGUUAUAGUAAGAAGUUAUAGUAAAACCAUGCCAGGGAGAGCAACCACUGUUUCUAAAAUCGUUGCACACCCAUCCAUACAGUAUGUAGGAUAUUAUAAUAAAAAAUCGGGUUUGUAGUGAGAAAAAUUACAAAAACUAGUAACUCAAAUAGGGUAACAACCAAAAUACUAGAAUUCCCCUUAUAAUAAUUUUUAAAAAACCGGGCUUGUAGUGAGAAAAAUUACAAAAACUAGUAACUCAAAUAGGGUAACAACCAAAAUACUAGAAUUCCCCUUAUAAUAAUUUUAAGAAUCACUUAAUUACUCAUAACACAUGAAGCAGUCCAAUACUAAUCCAGAGGUAUAAAACUAAAGUUCUCUUUCAAGCUCAAUAGUCUAUUAACUAAAAUUUUUAGCUUACUCUUCUAAGGUGGGGAUCAUGAUCAUUUUUAUGAAUUGAUAUAGAAAGGCUGAAAUAAAAUUUCAAUAAUUAGGUAGACUAAAAAAGAAGAAUGUUAUUAAUGAAAUACUAGACUAUCUAUCUUAUUAGGAAUAAAUGAAACAAGUAUUUGAAAAAACACAUAAUGUAACAUUAAAUAGAUAAAAUAAUGAUUCAGAUUUUAAAUAGUUUAUGAAAUCCACCAAAUGAAAACGUACAAGUUAAUGUAAAGUUUGGGAGAAACUGAAAACCAAGUAAGAAGAUUUAAUUGUUGCAUUAUAUAAAUGCAAUCUACUUGGAGCUUAAUGUGAUAGUAUGAGUAAAACUUGAAACUUACACUAAAUUAUUAAUUGUUGUGUCAUGUUUUUUUUGAAAGUGAAUUGUUGUAUCAUGUUGAAACUUAAUAUGUUAAAAAUGAUUUACUAAUGUCACUUCAAAUGAUAAUGUGUAUAAGAUGUUGGGUUUGUCUACACUCAUUAUUAGAAGUGAGAAGGAAAAAUCAAGAGGAAAAAAUUUAGAAGAAGGCUCGCAAUAUGUCUCGAGAAAUAAGUAGAAAUUGGAGUUGAUAAUAGACGGAGAAAUAUGUGUGUCAUAUGUUAGUUCCCUUUUGGAUUCUUUUCGAUUUACGAGCACAAUUAAUCCAUUCCCCCUAAAUAUAAUUAUCAAUAUAAAUUUACUAAUUUUAAUAAAUAUUAAAUGAUGAGUUGCGUAAUUGUUAUACAAGUUGAAAGUUGAACCGGUAUAUUAAUAAUAAAACCUUUUUGAAGAUAAAUUGACACAAAAAAUAAACGGUUCAUUAUGGCAUUACGUGAAGAUCAUUGAUCAUAUAUGUGUGUGUGUUGUGUAUAUAUGUAUGUAUAUACUUAUAUGUGAGAGAUAUGUUAUAUAUUAGAUAGUGAUUUGUUAUGUGUAAACUAGUUAGUGAUUAAAAAUUGGUGAGGCACUGAUUUUUAAUUUGUAGGCUAAUUUAGUUUGUAUAGGCCGCAGCCUCGGUGGCCACAGUGGUGGGCUAUGGCGCGUCCGGGCUGACCGUAUAUGUGGGUUGGUCUGGUGGGAGUGGAUGUGGGUGAGUAAGUGACAGUAUAUGAGUGUAGGUGAGGAAGUGGCUAUGGUUAUGAAAGAAAUUUUUGGUUUUUAUUCAAUUUUAUUUUUAUUAUAUAUAUAUAUAUAUAUAUAUUAAAUAUUUGAUAUAUUUUUUCAAAAUACAUAUUUAUAAUUUUAACAUAUAAUUAGAUUUAAAAUUUUCAAACAUGUGAUGCCAUAAUUUAUAUUAGAAAAAUCUAUUUUCCUUCAUCUUACAUUUUAAAGAAAAGUGAUUUUGCUAGCUACCUAGAUAAAAUUUGUAUUUAUAUAUAAUAAUAUGUUAUUUUCUUAUUGGCAUGUGUAAAUAAUUUCAGUAAGUGUAAAUAAAUGUUUCCUUAUUAAAAAAAACCUCUAUAAUAAGAAGUAUGAGAGCACAACUUAUAAUAAAGGAAUUAUUUUAUAUUUUUUUUCAUCUUUGAAAAUACAAUAAAUUAUUCAAAUAAAAUAAUUAUACAAGCAAACUGAUUAAAUGAGGGUAAUUGUCAAGAAAUUAUUGAUUAAGAUAAAUGAUAAUGUAUAGAGUUCAAGAAGUAUUUGUUGAAUGUGGAUAUAUUAUAUUGAUCAAUUUGAUAAAAUAUACUAUUCCCCACAUUUUGUUAAACAUAAUAUAAUUUUGGCUAUAAAAUAAAAGAAGUGUGUGGGUGAUUCCAGAUUAUUCUUAUAAGUACAUGCAUUUGUUUUUAAUUUUGAAUGCAUGUAUUAGUCCAGAUGCAUAAUCUCUAGAAUAUUCUCGUCUUUUGCUUUCUAGCAUUUAAUUAGUCUUUAGAUCUUUCUAUUGAGUCCUAUAUAAAGCCUCUUGUACCAAAUCAUUUGUCAUCAACUAAGUUAAAGCAAUUCAUUAUAUAUAAAUUUCUCUUUUCCUAAAUAUCUGAGUUGUGGGAGUUUUAGUGAAAACCUUUCUUCCGCCAUCCAACACAUUUUUAGCCCACAUCCUGGUUCUAAGUCUAUUCUAGUUUUGUCCUUCUCCUUAGAUUUCCUCGAUUUCUUCACCUCCCCUUGGUUUCUCCGCUAUAAAAUUUUACACACAGAUAUAUAUAUAGUCUUAGAAGAAUGGCCAUGAUCACUAAAGCUAGCUGGCUGUUAAUAAGUGAGAAUUGAAAUGAUUUGCCGAUUAAAUUUAAUUAGCAAUGGUGAUCUAUGUAUGCCUAUGUGUUUAAUUCCCUUGAUAAAAGAUGGUGCCAUGUAAGUUCAAGAGUUCUAAUUUAAUUGUGAGGAUAAUAUUAUGUAACCAUUUUGAUUUGAUGGGUAAUCGUUAUUUAAUCUUCUUUUACUCAUAAAUUAUAGGGUUUUGGCGUUCGAGAUUAUUCUUGGUACAUCUGUAAAAGCCCUAGAAGGAAGCCCGUUACACCGGCAGGCGAAGCUGGUACACUUUUGACGGGGUUAAAGCUCUGGAGGCAUAUGAUGAAGGUGGUGUUAUAAAUAGAAAUUCUGGUCUUCAUGGAAUUGCAUCUUCUAUUGGACGCACUUUAGAAGGGCGAUUUCACGUCAUAUGUCUCGAUGAAUUGAUGUACGUUGGUAUUUGUCCUCUAUUGUUACCCUUCACUACAAUUUUUUACCUGAUGACCCACAAAACAUCGGAUAUGCUGUAAAUCUGGUCUUCUAAAUCCGAAAUUGCCAGGUGGAGAAAUCCCAUGUGGCUUCAUCGGAUAUGCUGUAAAUCUGGUCUUCUAAAUCCGAAAUUGCCAGGUGGAGAAAUCCCAUGUGGCUUCAUGGGAUAUGCUGUAAAUCUGGUCUUUAUAUUGAUUACCAAAACGUAUCCUGGGUCACCACCUCUGGCCAUGGCCUUAGAGAGACUCUCUUCUAUCAUCUAUUCUCGCUCCUGCAAGUUUAUAGAACUAUGAAAUAUAUGUAUAAGGCCCUCCCAUUCAUAAAAGAUGGAGCUGUAUUUUUGGAUGGUGGAAUAAUGAGUCCUGAUGUUUUUACCUUGGCCAUUGGGUUUUUUUUUGCAUAACGUUGAUCAAAAUUUCCUCUUAGUAGCAUAGCCAUUGUGACAACUUUAAUUGUACAUUCACAUUUCUUCUGUUUCCUCUUAGUAGCAUAGCCAUUGUGACAACUUUAAUUGUACAUUCACAUUUCUUCUGUUGCAACUGUACAAUUUCUUGGAACAAGUUUAUAUGAUUAGCAAAGAAUUCUUUGAUAGAAGAGUAUGUUAUUAUUUGUUAGUAUGAUAUAUAUUACUCAUAUUACUCAUAAAUAUGCAAAUAAGGCACUAGGAUAUGAAAGUAUUAAUUCAAUAACAAAAUUAAAACGUAAAACUAAAAUUAAAAGAAUAAAAGAGAAGGAAAAUUCUUAUGAAACGAAUGAGUUUGAUUCUUUUCGUUUCCUUUGUCGGCGAUGUUUUAGUAAAUUGCAUGUGAUAUACAAAUAGCAUAAAACAAAAUUUUGUGCUAUUUUUUUUUAUUUUUAGACCACUAUUAAAUCUAUCAACAAUAAACGGCCACCAUAUCUGUAUGUAUUUUGUUUCUAAUAUAUAGUAUUAAAAAAUGUAAAUUGGAAUCUUAUAGAAGCUAACAAUAAAAAUUUUUAUUUGGUUUCACGAUCAAAAUAAUAUAAGUAAAAUAAUUCAAGAUCAUUCAUUAACUUUCUCCUAAUUUUAAUUUGUGAAUUUUAUUUGAUUUUCAAGUAUAAACAAAUUACCAUCCCUACAUAUAAUAAUCAUUAUAAAUUUACUAAUUCUAAUAAAUUUUUGAAUGAUAAGUUUGUAAAUUAUUUUGUUAUACUGGUCGAGACUUGAACUAUUAUAUUAAUACUAAAAAGCUUUAGAAAAGACAAAUUGACUCAAAAAUAAUAUAUUAAUUUGUGAAAUUUUUUCUCACUAUAAAAUUUGUUCAUAUUAAUAAGUAAUAAUGUGCUUCCUACAUAUUUAUUAGCUAAUUAAUAAUUUCCAUCAACUGAAAAAGCACUGAUGUUCGAAAACAAACCUUGUCUUGGCACUUCACCUCCAAGUUUGUUGUGGGAAAGAUUGAGGAAUUCGAUCAGAUGAAACCCAUCAAAAAUAUUUGGAAUAUCCCCGGAUAUAUUAUUACUUGAGAGAUCUAAAUUAUGAAGACUUUUCAAGGAUUUGAAAGAAGAUGGAAUUCUACCUUGAAAAAGAUUUCCGCCCAUGUACAGCCCCUCCAACAUCACACAAUCACCCAGGGUUGUGGGUAUUUCUCCUGUCAGUCUGUUAUUCCAAACAUCUAGUGUAACCAAUUGUUUCAAGUUUCCGAUGUUGAAUGUUAAGGGUCCUCCUGAGAAUAGAUUUUGGUCCAAAUAAAGAAUUAAACAUUGGGAAGAAAACCCAAUUUCCGCAGGUAUUAUUCCUCCAAGACUAUUGUUAGAAAGGUACACUUCCUGUAUAGUUGAGAUGUUAAAUAAUUGAGGAGGUAAGCUUCCUCGGAGCAUAUUAUACUCUAAACUGAGUACGCCUAAUUGAGUAAUGUUGCCAAUAGAAGUGGUAUUACUCCAGAUAUGUUGUUGCCACCGAAAUCUAGUUCACCCAACUGUGAUAGCUCUCCAAUUGAAUCUGGAAUAGUCCCUGUCAAAAAGUUUCGUGCAAUCCCAAGGUCUUUCACGUUGACAAGUUUUCCAAUAUCACGGGGUAUGCUUCCGUAUAUGUGGUUUCCAAACAAAUAGAGUGUCUCUAUGGUGG
This 82346-nucleotide long non-coding RNA is filed under the name Daucus carota (carrot). RNAcentral describes it as "long non-coding RNA (DCAR_LNC003778)". Lineage: Eukaryota; Viridiplantae; Streptophyta; Magnoliopsida; Apiales; Apiaceae. The record is from RNAcentral.